GCUCCAACAGCUUCCUUGAUUGGAACUCCUUCUUCUCCUCCUCAGGAAGUUCAAAAAACUUGUGGCACGCCUCGAUCAUUGAUUUCAUCAGGCUCUCAGGUACACCAUGGUUGAUCACCUGAAAGAAGCCCCAUUCCUGACAAGCUCUGCCUAGCUCUUCAAUGGCUUUGGACCGGAGUUCAGGGGAGCUUGAGGUGAGAUGGGCGAAAUCGAUGGUGGGGAUUGAGUGUUCUGGGGCGCUUGCAUCACCUUGAUCGUUGGGAUUCUUGACAUAGGUGUACUCCGACGGUACGGCGUUGAGUUCGGUGCCGGUAAGUGUCUUGAUGCUUGCUACUUUAGCAUCGUCGGCAACGUUGGCUGUUGUAGGUGCCAUUUGGGAGAGGUGAAACUAAAGUUUUGGAAUCAAAGAGAAUAGAAAUAGUGAGAAAGAAGGAAUCAAGUUUGGUAGUGAGGUCAGAUGAAUGUCUGGGUUGCUAUUUAUAGCCGAAAGAAGAAGGGUUUGCUCAAUCCACACGUGGAAAAAAAGGUUACGUUAGCUAUAUUUUAGUACAUAGUGCCGAACCCUUCACGGUAGAGGCCGGUAGCCAAAGCUGACCAAGUUUUUCUUGAUUGAUUCUAACAAAUGUGCAUGCCGAUGUCAGUAGAAGACCAUACAUGUGGAAUUUGCAAAUUGAUACCACCUUUUAACUUGUUACCCUUCCAUCAUUUUCAAGCUUCUUUGGUUUUUGGUCUCGCUUUCUUGGAAGAUCAAUGUGUCAAAAUCACACAUGUAGCCCCAUAUAGUGGAAUAAAACUUGACGAGGAAACAAACAAUGAGAAUAUAUGAAGCCUAUUCACAUACACUUGUUUUCGGAAUCAUAUAUACAAUACAACAUAAAUGUAAGACAUAUAUAUGCUACCGAAAAGAAAAUGCAAAACAUACUAAUAUAUUCUCUUCUUCAAUUUGUAUUUUAAAGUCCUCCAUACGCAUAAAUUGUGACUCAAAAUUAAAGUUUUCAAAAAACAUAUAAAAUUGCAAAGUAUUGUCUCACAUCAUAGAAAUAAGGAUUAAAGACUUAUAAUAUAGAUAUUCGGACGUCUCACAACGCUCACCGUAUAAUUACACAUGAAGCUAAAGUUUAGAUUUUCAAACACGUUGUGUAUGCCAAUUAAUUUUUAAUUCGGACAUGAUUUCUUCAUCUUUGGUAUAUUUUUUUAUAUGGUCUUGGUCUUCACUUAUGGAUUCUUCCAUACAGGCCAGGGAAUGCAGUCAUCACCUAAAGUCUUUAGUCUUUUCCUACGUAGGCUUCCGGCUUAGCUAAUAAGAGUUUUACUUGGGUUGUGGAGGAAAAACAUAAACUGAGUGAAUAAAUAAAUAAAUAUAUAUAUAUAUAUAUAUAUAUAUAUAUAUAUUAAGGACCUUUACGUAGUCUCUGAGAAAUAUAUCUGUGUGCUAGUUAGAUAUAAAAUAUGGUAAGACAACCAUAUGGUUGAUACAGGUACGUACAAUAGUCUUGGUCUAUGCAAAUUGUUAGUCAAGAAAUUAGACGCUUGUAAUUAAAGUGAUUCAAAUUUAACUGACUGCAUGAUCAAAAUAGCAGCUGAACAAGUUCCAAGUUCCAACUAGACAUGCAUAGUGAAUCUUCUAUUAUAAACCUCUCCAGGAUCUCCAUGCCUUCCAAAGCUAGGUUACCUUUGCGGCAAAGCAAAUAAAUUUGCAGAACCACUUAAUUUCAUAUAGAAAAGUAAACACUUCGCACAAAAGGAAGAUGUGGUCUGUAUUGGAGUCAAAGAUUCAAGAAUAGCUAGCGCUCCCAGCAGUGCAGACACACAAGAGGAUAAUCUAGUUUACAAUAAUAACGUCAAAAUUGCCCAUCAUUUGUAAUAAUCAAGACAAGUUUGAACGACAAAAAUUCAAAACAAGCCAGCCAAAGAAAAGCAUACAGAGACUAGAAUUCUAGAAUUGCGUAUGAAACUAGGAAUUCGUGUAAAACCUCUAGUUUACCUGAUGGACAGCUUUGUUUCUAUAUAUGCUUGCCAAUAUUGCAUGCAUUUGAAGCUCUAAUGUCAAGUAGUCCUUAUUAUCGAUAUAGACUUUGAGUACGUAGGUAAAGGGUUAGAAACCUAACGUACGUAUAUAGUAAUUUGCAUAUCAACAUUUACCGUUUUAAUAACAAUUAACAUCUUCAAAUUAUCCGUUUAUUUGUUUGAGACCUUCUUUAAGUUAUUAAUUAGUCUCUUAUAUAUGAAUAAAUUUUGAAUUUUUGAUAGAGCUAGCUAGAUUAUAAAAAUAUUAACCGUCCACAGUGGCUGAGCUACUCGAACACCAAAGGGUGUCACGGCACCCCUUACAUUUUAGCUUGUAAUGUAUAUGUAUUUCUUUAUCGUAAUUACAUGCAUAUGUAUAUGAGUUGGUUCAAAUGAGUACUUUUAUGUUUGGGUUUAUAACAUAUAUUGACACCCUCCUCAUUUGUAAUUUUUGACUCCGACCGCCACUGACCGUCCACUACAUUCUAUUAGUGUAAGGUUUGUGUACGUACUUCACAUUUCAUAAACUCCCCAAUAACCAAGGGUCAUGUUUGAUGGUAAUACUUUUACUCUUGAACCCCAGAACUCCAGAAGGAUGGGAUGUUGGACCUAAUAUCUCGAUCUCACCAUCACACUUCAAAGGUAUGUACAGUGUAAUGUGCUGCAUAUAUAUUAUCUGUUCAAAAUUUGUUUUAGGAUUGAACAGUCCUCUCUAUCCAAACUUAGAACUGAGCAUGUUUUUCAAUAUGGAAAUAUUGAGUUGUGAUUUAAGAAGAAAAAUAAUCCACAAAUGAAAUAUGUCUUAAAAUGUGAUUCAUGGCUUUCCUAAUAAGUGACAAGGUAAGUUAUUUGUUCCAUUAAUUGAUAUGGUUCACCUCCGUAUUUCGUUACGAUCGCAUUUUCAUCUCUCGCUUUAUUAGACUAUGCCUGGGGAAGAAUCAGUCCUCCUCAUCCUCAACUGCGGACUCCCAAGUACUUUUUAAUUUAGAACAAAGCAAGUCCACAACCACAUCAGGAGCAAUAACAUGGCCGUCCGGUGAUCAAGGACUUCGUCGUGAAGGUACAUCUGAAGACGUUAAUAUUAAUUUUCAUGUCCAUCUUCUGGUGAUCGAGGACUUCGUCGGUGAACGUACAUCUAAAAAUGUUCGUUAAUCGACAAGCAGAAUAGUUCGCUGAAUUUUUUUUUUUAUCUAAAUAUGAUUGAUUCGAAUCAUAUGUACAAAACCCUAAUGAACCCUUGUUGGACACACUUGUGUGUGUCUAUAUAUAUAGUUCAUAUCCCGAAACUUCAAUUCGCUAUGAAAAUAAAAUGUGAAGUUCCUUAUUUGACUCACUUUUUCGUCAUAUUUCUACAUCUCCACCUUUCAGUUUAUAGAAUCUUAUGCAUAGAUCACUUAUGCAAAGUUUCAUCUAAUUUGAUGAUCGUUUAGGUUUACUUAAAAGUUAUUUACACAAACAGUUAUAGUUAGACAAAUUUAUAGUCCGUUCAUUCAUUUGAUCUAAUUCAGUAACCAAACGAUUAUUAAUCUUGAUAUAUAUAUAUAUANNNNNNNNNNNNNNNNNNNNNNNNNNNNNNNNNNNNNNNNNNNNNNNNNNNNNNNNNNNNNNNNNNNNNNNNNNNNNNNNNNNNNNNNNNNNNNNNNNNNNNNNNNNNNNNNNNNNNNNNNNNNNNNNNNNNNNNNNNNNNNNNNNNNNNNNNNNNNNNNNNNNNNNNNNNNNNNNNNNNNNNNNNNNNNNNNNNNNNNNNNNNNNNNNNNNNNNNNNNNNNNNNNNNNNNNNNNNNNNNNNNNNNNNNNNNNNNNNNNNNNNNNNNNNNNNNNNNNNNNNNNNNNNNNNNNNNNNNNNNNNNNNNNNNNNNNNNNNNNNNNNNNNNNNNNNNNNNNNNNNNNNNNNNNNNNNNNNNNNNNNNNNNNNNNNNNNNNNNNNNNNNNNNNNNNNNNNNNNNNNNNNNNNNNNNNNNNNNNNNNNNNNNNNNNNNNNNNNNNNNNNNNNNNNNNNNNNNNNNNNNNNNNNNNNNNNNNNNNNNNNNNNNNNNNNNNNNNNNNNNNNNNNNNNNNNNNNNNNNNNNNNNGUAUAUAUAUAUAUAUAUAUAUAUAUAUAUAUAUAUGUAUCAUUUAGGUUGAUUGUUCGGGUAUCUCGUGUUUCUGAAAUGAACAUAACAUUGUAAUUUUUGAGAAAUAUUUGCCCCUCCUAGAAUGUCUUAAAACCUCUUGAGAAUUUUUAUGAAGUGUGUGAGCUAGCUAUCAAAUUUGAAAACACACGAUCUUAAUUAUAGUUUUGGGUUCAAGCUAGUCGGUGCAAAUGUUUUUAUUUCGUGUCAAUUUAAAAAAAAAAAAUUUAAUAAAUCACACACCUUACAUAUGUUUAGUGAGAUUUGAACCCAUGACCUCAAAAUUGUUAGUGAGUUUUUAUUUCGUGUCGUUUAUGCACGGAUUGUACUUGAGAAUGUUGUGCUAUAUGAUGGUUGAUAUAUAAUUAAUGUGAUAAUUAGUGUCAAAGGUGAUAAUUAGUGCGUUUGUGGGAGGAUUGAAAGAUGCAAAAGAUGAGCUCUCGAUCAGGCAAGAGUCUAAUUAGUGUGUUUGUGUUGGAUUAUUUCUUGUAUGGUGGGAUUAGUGGAUUAUCUACUGAUAUAGUGCGCGUACUGGCUGUUACCUCAUUAGAGGAUUUUAUUUCAAUAUAUUUCAUGUUAUGUUUUGUGUGUAAUUAAUUUAUUUUUGCUAUUCAUAUAUAUUGAAUAAUUGUAAAGAGUAAUGAAGCGGCACAACGCAGUUGUACAUUAUGAAGAUACAAGACAACUCAUACAAGCAUAUAAUUAAUUCGAACUCAUGUUACAUGGAUCUGUUGUAUUACAUAUAUAAUCUGAUAGAAUCCGGCGUUUAAUACUGAAUUAAAAGACAGAAUCUGACAACAAGAUCACUAGAGAUCCCCGUAGGAAAAAAAUAAAAUUAACUGAUCUGCUACACCGUUGGAGCACCAACGCUCAUACAGGAGCAUUAUUACUGUUGUGAGAUAGAGGAAGUGAUGAUGGAGGCAUGGAGCUGUGAGUUGGAUAGCAAGGGCAAGCUUUGGGCUUGGUUCACUCGGCCUUGACUCGCAGGUGAUCUAAACAAGGCAUCAUGUACGCCGCCGGACUGGCCUGAAGUUCCAUGAACUCUUCAUAUGACAUUCCGAUGUAUUUUGGUGCUUCACCGCCCAACAACUCCGGGAUUGGAAGAGCAGCAGUGUCAAGUGCAGGUCCAUGUGGUACAGCUAUGGAGAUCCUUGUAGCUCUGUUGUUCACAACAGCCCGAUGCCAGACGCUCUUGUACUUAUCAUUAGUCAAUAUCUGCAUUUGAUCACCAAUGUUAACAACAAAAGCACCCGGAGCACAAUCAACGAGCACCCACUUCCCGUUGUGCUGGACUUCAAGGCCUCCCAUAUCAUUCUGAAUAAGAAGAGUCACAAGUCCGUGAUCGGUGUGAGGGGGGAUUCCGAUGGCUAGGUCGGGCUGUGGACACGCCGGAUAGUAGUUAGCGGCGAGGAUUUGCAUGCCACGGUCCCAGUUCAUGGCCUUGGCUAUGUACUCAGCCUCCAACCCCAAGCUCUCAGAUAUUCCGCUCAACAAUUCGGUAGCAACUUGUCGAGUUUGUUUGCUGAACUCGAAUGAAACGUCGCUGUACUCAGCGGGCUUGUGGAGUGAGUGGAACUCCGGGUGUGCUAUGACCUUGAGGUAAUCCCUCCACAGACGAACCUUGUCGAUCGCAACGUUAAAGCUUGUCCCGCACUUGAUUGGUUCCAAAAGCUUCCUUGAUUGGAACUCCUUCUUCUCCUCCUCAGGAAGCUGAAAAAACUUGUGGCACGCCUCUAUCAUCGAUUUCAUCAGGCUCUCAGGUACACCAUGGUUGAUAACCUAAUCAAGAAAAAACUACUAUCAGCUACCGGCCUUCAUUUUGCUAUAUAUUUCCACAUAUAUUACUAGCUUUUGUAGUAAGAAAACUAUCUUCAUGUAUAUAUACCUGAAAGAAUCCCCAUUCCUCGCAAGCUUUCCCAAGCUUUUCAAUGGCGUCGGCACGGAGUUUUGGGUUGCUGGAGGUGAGAUGGGCGAAAUCGAUGGUGGGGAUAGAGUGUUCUGGGUCACUGGCAUCGGCUUGAUCGUUGGGGUCCUUGACGUAGGUGUACUCCGAUGGUACGGAGUUGAGUUCAGCCCCGGUGUCGGUAAGUGUCUUGAUGCUUGCUACUUUGGUUUCGUCGGCGACGGCGGUUGUUGUAGGUGCCAUUUGGGAGAGGCCGGGAAAAGAGAAAGAGACCUGAGUGUUUGGUUAGGACUGAUGGAAUGAGAGAGAAUGAUAUGAGUUUAGUUGUUGUGUAGGUUUGAAGAAAGAUCGAGUUGCUAUUUAUAGCGCCAGGAAGGAGAGCUCAAUUUUUCAACGUGGAGAAAUGCAUUUUGAUGAUGUUAUUUAUUUUAGUGUCGAACUUCGAAGGUGGGUGACUGGGUGUGUAGGCCGACGGCCACUGCUGACCAUGUUUCGAAUAGUAAUUGUCAAAGAAAGCCAGCCAGCUGGGACAGGCUUAUAUGGAUCAAGAUUCUUUUAGUGCUAUAAAUCCAUACUAAAGAAUAAAUCUUAAAAUUAAUCCGAUAUGAUAAUCAUAGUGACAAAACAAGAAGGAUCAAAAAAAAAAAAAACAACAAGAAUUAAUUUAACCUGCUUGUAAGCUUGUUUGAUUGGUUGCUUCCAAGAUUGGCACAUAUACAUAUGACUGGAAAUUUGAUGUGCUAUUCCUAGCAGGUUCCUAAUGAUCUGCCUCAUGAAUUAAUUAGCUAGAAUUAUGCUACUAAUAUCUUAUUCUUGUUACACUCGUCAUUUUAUUUAAUUAUGAAAUCAUUUUUUUAUUUUGGAAAGAAAUAUUAUGAAAUCAUUAAUUAGAUUUACUAAUACUUGAUUGCAGAUAGAGAAAAUGAAAGGAAAAAAAUCUGCCAAUAUAGAAUUGUUUUUCAGACAACGAAUGUGCAAUCCAAUUCACAAUUAGCUAAAAGAUCAACGAAAUCCAAGUCAACUCUCAAGAAACUAUCUAUCAAUUUAAUGAUGUUAGUCCGUCCCGGAGCAGAACUAGGGAUUAUAACUUUGGGUCAGCAUGCAUCUUACCACACGCUUGAACUGAUUUUCUGACUAGAAAACCCUAAGCGGCUGGUGUUUCAUCCUCUUACUAUAGUUAUCACAUGAAAUUCAGUGUUUGUGGUUUAUGAAAAAAACUUGUUCUUUGUGAUCGACCAAGCAGAUUACGCCUUUGUAUAAUCUUCACUUGAAAUUCAUCAAUAGCAUGGAACACAUUAGCAAAUAAAAGUGGUUGGAUUACACUAUCAUUCACAUCUCUACCAAAAUUAAUUUCCUCCACUAUCCUAUAGACAAUAUGCAUCCCACCAAAAGCUUACCCUACAGGCCUACAUGACAUCUUGUGUGACUAUACAUGAUCGAGCUAGACACAUCCCUAAAAUGAACUCUAGCAUAAGUAGUGGUUCAUCUAGCAUUAUAUAUAUUGCAAUUACUCAUCUAUAUAUUAGAGUAGUUUUCUUGUUAUUGAUUUAUAUAUAGCUUGCCAUCAUGUUAAAAAAUGUAUACUAUAAUUCAUGUCAAAAAGAGAACGACUUAUGCAUGACUAUAGCAUAUUACAUGAUGAGAAAUUAAACCAAUACCAUGCAUACAUGAAAAACAUUGCUCACUUUCAUGAUUUUUUUGUUUAGUGGAUCUUUAGAGAUCGGUGUCUUUCUGUUACAAUGGACUUAAUUUAUUGGUCUUCUCCGCAGUUUCUUCCCUACAGGAAAAUGCAGAUGAGUGAUGACCUCAAUUACCAAAUUUCUCUUAGCAAUCUUUACGUGUCGGCAAUGGCCGUUCCAAGACAACCAAAUUUCUUUCACCUUUAUGAAGUCGGUUCUGUUUCCGAGUGCUAUGUUUAGGGUUUCCAUGCAAGAGUACAACUGCAAGAUUAUAUUUAGGGCUCAGAUGUGAUGUGCAUGUAUGGAAAGACAAACAAAUGGUUGGUAGAAAGUAGGUCGAUGUUGUUCGAUAUCUUGGGGAAGUUUUUGCCACAUCGUUAAUGUGGUCAAGAGUUCAUACAUAUGCUAGUGAUACAAAUUUGACUCUGGAGCUCACUCUUUCAUUUCCGUCGUGUCUUUCACUAUCACUUAAGUAGCAGCACCAGAACGGCAGAACCAGUACGUACACACACAGCAGUACUGCUGAUCGAGUUAGCUAGCUAGCUUAGCUAGAACACCCCCGUGUCCAGUAAGGUCAAUAAUUUCCCGUCGUUUGAUAAUGAUUAAACCCACUUUGAUCCACAAUAUUCAAACCAAGCCAGCCAAGGAAAAGCAUAUACAAAUAUAUGGACGAACACUAUCGAAAAUAUCUAUCUUCUAGAAUCAAGAGAGUUUUAACAUUUGUGAGUACUUAAAUCACUAGCGCCCAGUGCCAUCCUAGCUACUUGUUUACAGGUUGGUGCAGAUGCUCGUGUAGUACGUGCCAAAGCCAUCCCAAAUAAUCAAAUUGAUUAUGAUCCUAAAACAAGCAUUAUUUGUUUGGGUUUGAAGAUUCCGAAUUCCCGACGGAUCAGGGAAUUCUUAUAAACAAUUCCCGGAUCUUAAAGUAAUCUCUACGAUGACGAAGAAAAUUCGUAUGAUUGGAAUUUGGAUAUAGAUAGAUAUACAAAAUACUGAGUCAAACUUUGGGACUUGAUUUCCUUUUCGGUUUGACAUUCAAAAUAGAUACAAAACAGGGUUCUUAAGCUUAGUUUGAUAUUGUGGUUUAAAAUCUUAAUUUUUUAAAAAUUUAGUUUUAAAUAAGCAACCUCCAGCUUGCUUUCUAAAAGCAUCUUCAGCGGUAUUGCUAAAUCAAAUUUUUUUUGAAAUUUGACAACUUUUCGAAUGAAUAGGAGCUUCAACAGUAUACCUAAAUGGUUGCUAAAUUUAAUGAUUGCUAAACAAAAUUGAUAAAUUUGUCAACUGAGCCAUGAAUUGCUAAAUGAAUACUUAUAUUUUCCUUUUUUUUUCUUCCACGUGUCAAUUUAUAAUUCGUUAAAAAUAUUACUUAACUUACACUUAGCAAUAACUGCUUGAGCCAAAUUCUUAUAACAAUUGCUAAAUCUCAUAAUUAUUGCUAAAUUUAACUAUAGGUUUAGUUACACUGCCAAAUUCUUUAUCGUGGUUAUUUAAACUAAAAAGUUCUACAUAAACGCGUUUUAAGAUUUUACCAAAUAGAAAAUUUAUCUAAAAUGGUGAUUAUAAGUGAUUUUAAUCCCCAAAACUCAAUACCAAACUAGGUCUAAGUAGUUCAAGAAUUUAGCCAAGGGGUGAUCAUUGAAUGGAAUCAAUGGAUAAUGUCAUGGUUUCCUGUCUUAGCUAGGCUAAGUCUACCCCACAUGUUUUUAUUGGCUGGUCACCCCAAUUUGGUCAGUUUGGUUUUCAAUUUUAUACGUAGAAUGAGAUAUAUACAGAGCAAAUAAGAAGAUUCGGAAGUGUCUUUUGGGGUUUGGUUCAAGGGGUGAGUUAGAUAAUUUAGUUAGAAAUUGUCAAACAUAUUUUCCUCCAACGAAACUUAUGCAUAAAACACGAAUUUGAUCCCUAACUUGCUCGUAGUUGUAAUCCUUUGUUGGUGUUGUGUGAUUGUUUUAUAAUUGCAGUUUAUUGAAUGAAAUUUUUCUUUAAUAAAAAAAAUAAAUUUGAUCAAAAAUGAGAUAUAUAAUAAUACUUCGGAAAAUAAAGAUGAAAAGUUUAUGAUCUAAAUAACAUUUAACCAAUGUAAAUAUUGUAAGUUCGACUCACAAAAUUUAAUAUUUAAUAAUAAAAAAACUAAUUCGAUCAAAAAUGAGAUAUAUAAUAAUACUUCGGAAAAUAAAGAUGAAAAAUUUAUGAUCUAAAUAACAUUUGACCAAUAUUGUAAAUGUUGUAAGUUCGACUCACGAAAUUGUAAUAUUUGAGUUGUUUAUCUAAGAAAAAAAAACAUUUGACCAAAGUAAAUCAACAGUUGUAAAAAAUGAGGCAGAGUUUUUACUUGCUAGAUCAUGCAUGGUUUUUAAUGAGGUCACAUUUAAUCCCUUGGGAUGUAAUAUCCAACAGCUUAUUAAUAAAAUUUAUUUUUGAUAAAGAAAAAAUCAACAGUUGCCAAAAAUCAUCUUUGUUAUGGACAGUAAUGUUGAAGUUGUUACAUAUGUUAUAUUAAUGAUAGUUAAACUGAAAUUCUUCAUAUCUAAUCACCUCCAUGUACUAGAUUUUGUAACUGAAGCCUCUAUAUUUUAGUUAAUUAGAAACCAAAACGAAGGCCACUGUACUUAACAACCUAGCUCUAAUUAGGACUAGAACCGGUCAUUAAUAGAAAUAAAUGCAAACUAGAUCUUUAAUCACCAGCCCGGUUGCAGCUCUUGAAAUUCAUUUUCAAGAAAUAUUUGACAUGCAAUCGUUUAAAACAUAUCUUGAAAGCUUUAACAAAAAUAAACCUAGUAAUAUUAAAGUUAAACUACUGCAUAUAAAAUGUUCGCAACAGAACUAAAAGACCGCUACAUAUAUGAACAUCAUCAUCAGUUUAGUCGAUCAAAAAUUGUAGUCUUUAAACUAUUAGUGUAAACAAAGCAAUUUGUAGGUGUACGUUGUUAUGUUAAUGUAAAUUUGACUCGUUAUUUAGUCUUUAAACUAACUAAAUAUAACAAGUUGCAUAUUUAUUCUGCUGUUUUAAAAAUCUCUUUCAAUUGAUUGCAUCACAGCUUUUGUUAUGCUAAAACCUACGUAAGUCUUAUAUGUCAUCUCCACAUUCUAAAUCUUAUAAAUUCCCUUCGAUAGUUGGUUACAUUUUGUUCACCCAUGCCACCUGAUCUACAUUUGGAGAAAAACAACUUUAAACCAUCACAUAAAGCCCCCCCGACAACUAAUGUGACAUAUUUACUAUAUUAUUAUAGCGCCUGACGCGGUACUGUUCCCGUGAACAGUGACAGUUGGGUUUGGGCUUUUUUUCUCUCCUUGGGCUUUUGGGCCUGCGUCUCGCCGUUUUCUCAUUCUUUUUCUUGCUCUCUCUCGAUCUCUCUCGAAACUCCACCGAAUCGUUUUUUCUUCGUCUCUAUGCGUCCUCUCCCUCUUCUUCGUUCCUGCCCUUUUCGAAAGGAGAAGAGAGAUCGCUUCCUCAACUCUUUUCUUUCUCGCUUUCGUUCUUCAAACUCAACCAAAUCUCUUGAUUUAGAUUCAGACUCUUUCACCGUUCUGAAGUUUUCUGUUGGAAACGAAUAAGAGUAGGUACUGUGUUCUGAAUCCUUAUCUGCGACGUUUGUUAUAGUUUUUGGGAUUUUGGAUCUUCGAUUUGGUACAUGAUUAUGAGAUAUUUAGAUAUCUCGACAUCUAUUGGUUUUGUUGUUUUCAUUGAUCUUCAGCAGAUUUGAUUCUGACACCUCAAGGUCGAUUGGAUUGGUUUCAAGCUAGGAUCUCAGUGAAUUUGAUCUUUCCAGGUAAAGAAUUUGAUAUUUUCAACUUUUUCUCAUAACUGGGUUUGGACAUUUCUUCUGUUUCUCAAGGAUGCGUAUGGGUGUGUUGGGUUCUUUCUCUGUUUUGCUUGCAUGUGCCGAUGGUUUGAUUGGGAUCUUAAUAUGCUAUUAAGAGUAUUUCCCUUUAUUACAACAGGAUAACCAAUUUCAUUGGCAGCAUAUAUAUAUAUAUACAAUACUGAACCUAUAAUCAUAUGACAUGGAAAUUUUUAUCCUUCUUUUCAGGUUGAGUUGAGUUUCGCAGUCAAGCUAGCUGAUUGUAUUGUUAAUAUAUCAACUUUGAAAAGGUACUUUAACUCCAUUAGGCUCUACUGNNNNNNNNNNNNNNNNNNNNNNNNNNNNNNNNNNNNNNNNNNNNNNNNNNNNNNNNNNNNNNNNNNNNNNNNNNNNNNNNNNNNNNNNNNNNNNNNNNNNNNNNNNNNNNNNNNNNNNNNNNNNNNNNNNNNNNNNNNNNNNNNNNNNNNNNNNNNNNNNNNNNNNNNNNNNNNNNNNNNNNNNNNNNNNNNNNNNNNNNNNNNNNNNNNNNNNNNNNNNNNNNNNNNNNNNNNNNNNNNNNNNNNNNNNNNNNNNNNNNNNNNNNNNNNNNNNNNNNNNNNNNNNNNNNNNNNNNNNNNNNNNNNNNNNNNNNNNNNNNNNNNNNNNNNNNNNNNNNNNNNNNNNNNNNNNNNNNNNNNNNNNNNNNNNNNNNNNNNNNNNNNNNNNNNNNNNNNNNNNNNNNNNNNNNNNNNNNNNNNNNNNNNNNNNNNNNNNNNNNNNNNNNNNNNNNNNNNNNNNNNNNNNNNNNNNNNNNNNNNNNNNNNNNNNNNNNNNNNNNNNNNNNNNNNNNNNNNNNNNNNNNNNNNNNNNNNNNNNNNNNNNNNNNNNNNNNNNNNNNNNNNNNNNNNNNNNNNNNNNNNNNNNNNNNNNNNNNNNNNNNNNNNNNNNNNNNNNNNNNNNNNNNNNNNNNNNNNNNNNNNNNNNNNNNNNNNNNNNNNNNNNNNNNNNNNNNNNNNNNNNNNNNNNNNNNNNNNNNNNNNNNNNNNNNNNNNNNNNNNNNNNNNNNNNNNNNNNNNNNNNNNNNNNNNNNNNNNNNNNNNNNNNNNNNNNNNNNNNNNNNNNCCAACUUAUCUUGAUUUAUAAUGUAUAUUAUCCUUUUACUUGUAGGUAUUCAUAGUUGUUCAGUAACAUCUUAGAUCUAUCGCUUCACUUAUAUAUUAGCACCAAUCAAACGUAAUGUGUAUGUCAAAAACCCAAAAUGGUUCGAUGUUAUGGAUAUCUUCCUGUUUUGUAGGUUGUGGUUAAGGUUGUGAUUUUGUUAAUCAGGUUAUGUUCUUCUCUUUUUGGUUUGGUGAAGGAUGUUUUUAAAAUAUCUCUAUUUACUACAUUGUAAUUUACUGUACAAAAGUAUUUUACUAUUUUGAAUCAAUUUAUGUUUUAACCAACCUCAUUGAUAUUAAUACAUCAUGUCUAUUGCUUCUGUCAUAGGUCAUAUCCAGUUAUUUGACAACAAUACACUUCAUUAAGAAUACACAGUAUUGUUAACACUUGAUUGUUCCUCGCAGCGAUGCGCGGGCACAAAAACUAGUUCACAUUAUUCCCCACCCAAUCAGAUUCUAUGCUACAUAAAAAAAUAAUAAUGAGAGCGCGCCUGCGAGGAGACUCGGAGAGCCUCGGUUUGCUUCGGAUCCUUAGGGUUCGAGUUUGGGCGGCGAUGCAUCUCCUUUGGGCGAGGCGACGACCGUGAUGGCGGUGAGACCGUGGCGGCAGCGAGUCCAUGCGUGUGGUGGCAGCGAGGGGCUCUGGGCUUCUCAGACUGAUGGCUUUUUCGGUGUUAGGUGACGGUGUUGGUGGUGGUUGGAUGCAAGAUGCGUUGGCCGCUGAGCUUGGAGAGGGUCUGCCUGAUAAUAUACUAGAUGGGUGCUGAAAUCGGCGACUAUAGUUGGCCGGUUUUGGGGGUCAACAUUAAGGGAUGAGGCGGUCAGGUCGGCCACUUCUAGGGUUGAUGCAGUUCGGGUUAAUUUGGGCCUGGCCUUGUGGAUCUGGGCCUGGCCUUGUGAAGUUGCUACUGCACUGCUUGGAGAGACCAAGGGUUCUGACUGGGUCGAUUUGGGCAUGAGAACCUAGGGAAUGACAGUAAUCACAGUCCCAUGUUGGGACAUAUCCCUACUUCAUCAUUGUGAAGAGUCAACCCCUUUUUUGUUAGAAAUGUACAUCGAAAUGGUCUCUACGCCCCGAUUCAUUAAGCUGAGUACUUUGAAUCGGUGAUGUAGGUUUUUUACUUUCUUGGUUUGAAUAAGUGUGUUUGAACAUUAGUUUUUUCAGGUUAGCAUUGUAGGUUUUCUUAUUUUGCAGACUUUGAUUGGGCAACGUAUUGUACAUGAAGUUUUCCUUACACAUUCUCUUAGCUUGACCUUAUAAGGUCAUAUGAUUGAAAUGAACGGCGCUUGACUCCAUUUUCCUUCAAAAAAAACAAAAAAUUCUAUGCUACAUCAAAUUAUUUGUAGGUGGCCGGUACCCAACAUUCCCCGAUAUAUAUAUCUUUAUGAAAAAAAGAAAAAAAUACAUCACAUCAUAACAGUAAAAUAAGAANNNNNNNNNNNNNNNNNNNNNNNNNNNNNNNNNNNNNNNNNNNNNNNNNNNNNNNNNNNNNNNNNNNNNNNNNNNNNNNNNNNNNNNNNNNNNNNNNNNNNNNNNNNNNNNNNNNNNNNNNNNNNNNNNNNNNNNNNNNNNNNNNNNNNNNNNNNNNNNNNNNNNNNNNNNNNNNNNNNNNNNNNNNNNNNNNNNNNNNNNNNNNNNNNNNNNNNNNNNNNNNNNNNNNNNNNNNNNNNNNNNNNNNNNNNNNNNNNNNNNNNNNNNNNNNNNNNNNNNNNNNNNNNNNNNNNNNNNNNNNNNNNNNNNNNNNNNNNNNNNNNNNNNNNNNNNNNNNNNNNNNNNNNNNNNNNNNNNNNNNNNNNNNNNNNNNNNNNNNNNNNNNNNNNNNNNNNNNNNNNNNNNNNNNNNNNNNNNNNNNNNNNNNNNNNNNNNNNNNNNNNNNNNNNNNNNNNNNNNNNNNNNNNNNNNNNNNNNNNNNNNNNNNNNNNNNNNNNNNNNNNNNNNNNNNNNNNNNNNNNNNNNNNNNNNNNNNNNNNNNNNNNNNNNNNNNNNNNNNNNNNNNNNNNNNNNNNNNNNNNNNNNNNNNNNNNNNNNNNNNNNNNNNNNNNNNNNNNNNNNNNNNNNNNNNNNNNNNNNNNNNNNNNNNNNNNNNNNNNNNNNNNNNNNNNNNNNNNNNNNNNNNNNNNNNNNNNNNNNNNNNNNNNNNNNNNNNNNNNNNNNNNNNNNNNNNNNNNNNNNNNNNNNNNNNNNNNNNNNNNNNNNNNNNNNNNNNNNNNNNNNNNNNNNNNNNNNNNNNNNNNNNNNNNNNNNNNNNNNNNNNNNNNNNNNNAAAUAACAGUAAUAUGCUGAGCACAUGAAUAAACAUUAGGAAUAAAAACACUCCUAGAAACAUUCUAAAUAAACAUGAAAGAAACUCAGUGAGCGCUUGAAUCCAAGUGUGAUACACCUUGCCUUGCUUCUGUAACAUGCCAUAUUUUUUCAGUGAAAUUAGGCUUUCAGUAUAGCUGAAGAUGCUGGAGCCCCUACGUCUUCCUAUCCAAAAGAUCCAAUAACCAGGAGUAGAAUAUGAGGGGAGUUGUUCUAUUUUCAUCGAAAGAUUUCUUAGGUCCAAAAAGUAACAUUCAUGGACUGAUGCAAAACAUAUGCCAUGCUCCCAUUCAGCACAAAUCUCUCCAAAACUAGUCCAUAUAGUCCAUUCAGGGAGGCAUUUCACUGUUAUAUUGUGAUGUAGCUCCCAUUUUUUCUCAUCAUCAUAACUUGUCAACACCCAUAUCUUAAUAUUAUCUUGAACAUAAUGAACAUCCACAAGAGCCAAAGAUCCUCUAAAUUUAAGCAAAUAUAAGCCAUAACUACUUGAGGGAACAAGAGUCGCACAAAACUCCUCACUGUUAAAAUUGAAUGAAAUCAUGUAACCGGGUCUUUCUAUUGUUUUGCAAAUCAACCAAUGCAUGUGUCCACCUACAUAUAUCGCAUUCUGGCCGCGUUUGCGCGGAAAAGAACUGCCUACAUCAAAAGGAGGAGCCAAAUGUAUCUGUCGCCAUGAGCUUGCACCUAAUACAAGAACUUGAGCCACAACACAGUUGUUAGUUGCCCAAACAUGAAUAAUCUUGUAUGUGCUAGUAAUAUCAUCAUAUCCCAUCCCAUACCAAUUAGUUUCCUUUGAAUAAAUAUGGGUGGUUCGAACCGGGAUGUUACUAAGCGGUAGCUCUAGAACUUCUUCCCUCAGCGGAUUGACCAACAAGCAUGGACCGGUACCGAUUUCUCUUUUAAGGAAAACCAAGUUGCAGAAAACAAAGUCUACUUCCAAGUAACGUUUCAAGCCAAUCUGAGAGACAUGUAUGGAUUUUGUCAGUGUCUGCUUUCUGCUGUUGUAUUUGAACGAUUGCCAUGUCUGUAACACUGACGUACCAUGCCUCCCAGCAUUAGACCAUAUAGUAACACGCAUAAGUGAGUCCAUAGCAGAGUCGUGUGACCGCAUGUUGUGCAGUGUAGCAAACUCGGGGCUGCGAGAUAUGUCGAAAGAGGUCUUAGACACACAUUGGACGCGACAGAGUGAUUCUACCGGCGGUCUCAUAAGGAUAUCGACGAUGACAUCUUCCGGUAGGUCCGUUAAUGUUGUUACCUUUGUGUUUGGAUCGCCAUUGUUCGAGUUUCCCUCAGUCUCGCCGGUGACAUCUUCGGCUAACUCAUCCGUCAAUGUGUUUCUCAUAAUCCAAAUAUUACUCAAAGUCUUCAGAAGAUCGAUACAUCUUUCUAAAAAAUUGCUUCUAUGCAUGAGGAUUCCUCCGGCCAUCGUUCUUUUUUUGCCUUUGUAAGAAGAAGAACUUCCGUUGAUAACAAAUUUCCUGGUAAUACCAGAGGCUCUCUUAUACAUUAUAGGAAUAGGAAUAGGAAGAUAAUCUUUUGGUGUUUGACUAGAAAUUAAUAGACAAUAAGAUUCUGCUAGCUUUGUUAGGAAAGUAUCUGAAUUUAUUUCAAUCAGAUGCGAUUACAAUCGAGUUUGUUAGGAAAGUAUAUGAAUUUAUUUCAUUCAGAUGCGAUUACAAUCGAGAGCUAUAGCUUUCUUUGGAUUUAUAAUAUACACCACCAAACUUGGCUUUACCUGGGCUUCAAAAUAAGGUCAUACUAGCUAAAUGAUGAGCAACCUUGUUAGAUUGCCUAUGUUCAUAGCAAAGUAUGGGAGAAGUUGAGCUAGCUAGCUUAGUUUUAAUAUCCACAAGGACAUGGUGAACUACGUACUUUGCAUGUACUGCUUGCAAACUUCAUAACAUGAUAGUUAGAAAACCUUAAACCCUAGUAUCACGAUGCAACCUUUACCGUCGAUCUUUAGACCAACGCCCAAAUGAAAAGUUACAUGUAAAUUGAAAUGAGCCUAUACAAACAUCUGUAUCCGUAACAAGCAGAAGCCAUAGUACAGCAACUCAGACAAAAUCAUCUAAAAGAGCAGUAGUGGAUUUCAGAGGUUGUACAUGGUACUGAUAUUGUCAACAUCACAGCAAUUCUGUGGUAGAUCUUCGCACUAUAGUUAUGAGUUCAUAUUUCACGACGGGAGGUUUGUACCAGUAAACAUGAGAGCACAAAAUGUGUAAGAAUAGUUGCAGAAGAAAGGCUUUGUUCGCUUUGUUUUUACACCUCUUCAAUUGUAACCGAAGGGGACGACACUCCAUUAAUUUGAUAGUAGUUGUUUGUACUCUGCCAGCAGCUUUGGGAUGUCAUCCAUACGCAACUGCAAAUCAUCAGCACCCAGUUAACAACAUGAUAAGGAAAAUUAAAGGAGAGAAUCAAAUAGAUGAUAUCACUGAUCAGUUGAGUAGAUAUGCCGGAUGUGCAAAAAGAAAAAAGAAAUCAGUUGCAUCUGGUUAAGAUGAUGACACAACGUAACAAUAUGAUAGGUACCUGGUUGACAUUUCUAACAUGAUAGAAACUAUAAGCCACUUUUCUAGAAGAAGCAGACUCAAUCAACUUUGGAUCAGAACCACCAUUCUCCCUACCAUAGCCAAGCAAAUACCACAAACAAAUGACGGAUUAAUCAAUCAAGUUUAAAAAUUGAAAGUCAACAAACCUUAUGUGCAGUGCAACACAUAAGUAUUAGGUUUUAGAAUUUAAAUUUAAGUUGAACUAUGGUGCAUAGGUAAUAUAUUGAACUUGACUUGAAUUUGUUUGUUUCACAGUCAUUGCAAUUUGCAUAUGUGCAGAGGUACUAAAUUCAAGUUGAAUUAUGGUUCAACUCUAAACUAUGGUUAACCUGAGAGAGAACAAUCCAGAUAGCCCUCUCCAUCCUAUAUCAAAUUAAAAGGUGAUAAUACUACCGUAAGUACUCAUUGUAAUGCAUAGUAACAUUGCCUCGGUUGUCAAUUGUCACCACGGUUAGAACUUAGAACUGUGUGUAAAAGAGGAGAACUGAGCAGAAUUAUCUAUUUUCUUCCUAGUUUUUCACUUGUUUGAUGAAUAAAGCUGGUUAAGCAUGUUAGACUUUUGUAAACAACCACAGAAACAGGACAAUUUAGCUGAUUGUAAACAAGUCAUGGUGUAAAACAUCAAUCUUACAGGUGACGACGAGUAAUUUGGCGUUGGUAGUCCCGCAGCAAAGGCCCAAGUUCUUUAAGUGGUAUGAACCUUGCAGUAGAAUUCCUCCAGUGGUCACGAAGCGCCUGAUGCAUUAUCAUUAAUAUUAUACUUUCCUGAACCAUACCAAACAUUUGUCUUCUUAUAGAAAAAUGAUGAUCAAUAUCCUACCUGAAUAUGUACCAUAUGUUCACCAGUGGACACUCUUUCUCCAACCAAACUUGAAGCUAGUUCAUUAAGUUCUCUGUCUUCUAACUCAUCCACAACAGGAACCCCAUUACUAGGGAGAAAAACUGAUAUUCCUAAUCUUUUUCGCAACUCUGAGACACCAGAUUCUUCUGUUUGGCUUUCCUCCUAGGAACAUGACAUACAAAUUUAAUAUCCAGCCCAAGAACAAAAGUUAAUAUCUAGUAGUGUACUAGUAGCUGAGGAAAAAUAUUCAAGAUAUGACACACGUGCUGGAAAUAUUGGAUCUAGUUGAACAUCAUCCAAUCCAAUUCAAUAUGAUGUUAGCAGAUCUGAUUCAAAGAAAACAUGUUUAGAGUAGAAGCAAGGCAGUAUGGUCGUUGGCAAAUAUAGAAUGAUUGGCAAUUACAGGCAGCAGCACCAAUACCUUGAGUUCAGAUUGGACACUACUACUUUCCAUCAUCACAUCCUUAUUUUCAGUAAGAUUCGUUGGUGAAGUUGCACGUAGCCUAUUUGCAAUAGGGUCCUCUAUACAACAGCAAAAUGUGACAAUUAGAAUUUGUCAGAAUAAGGUUUCAACAUAAAUUGCAUGAAAAAUCCAAGAAACAAGGUUCCCUUCUGCUUAGAUAGGGCAGUAAAAUGAUUUCCAUACCAAGAUCUGCACAACAGUUUCUCUCCUUUACUUAACAUCCAAGUUCUUUCUUUAAAUUUGAUAUCACAAGAGAUGAUUUUGGAGCCUUCUCAUCAUCACUUUGGAUAACCCCUCUAACACAGUAUUGUUUCAGAGUAUGGCGUCAUUAGAUCAAAGUCUUACAUUGAACUUUUUUCACUAUCACAUAAAUGAAAUUUGUAUGUGCUCCAGCAAGGGAAAUAAAUAUUUGAAUCAAGAUAAACAUUUUUCUUAAUUUUUUAAGAGAUAUUUAUAUGACCUAACAGACAAAGAGUUGAAGAGUCAAGUUCACGACAUUUUAUGCUAGGUUAUAUUAGAGGCUAUCACCUAACACAGCCGUUUUCUAGCUGUUACUGAAAAUCCUAGAAGAAAGAGGUUACAUGAUCACAAGCAGAGAAGUAAAGAUGAGAAAUAAUAAGAUAGUGUAGUACCUUCAGGGACCAACCACCACAGAUCACCAAAUGUGGAUUUGCCAUCAAAGCCACCAAAUAAUAGAUGACGUGAGCCAAUACAAGUCAGAGAAUGGUAUGCUCGAGCAGGAGGGGGUUCAUUGCCUGUAGGUAAUCGCUUCCACUGUGCAGAAACUAAAUGUUUGAAAAAAAAGGGGUAAGGAAUAUGAUUAAAUGCAUGAAUAUUCAAAGUGAAAGAUGAUGCGAUCUUGUCAUGAGAUGUAAGUGUCUGACACAAAGUACUUCAACUUUCCAUAAUCAAAGACAUUUGUUAUCAAAUAACAGGUGGAACCCAAUAAACAUGCAUACAAGGGAACCACCAAUUAACAAUUACGGUGUUAGAGGUUCCCUAUCCAAAUGGUAACAAGAAUAUUACUCUACUUUUGCACUUUUUUUUCUACGUAUGUGUGAUCUGGAGUGAGGAGUAGGGCAUUGUAUACAAAGUUACAGCUACCGAUUCUUUACUAUACUAUCUAGCCCGUAUAUGUAUCAUAGUAGCAUGGUGAAAAAUGGAUGGUUCAUUGACAUUAUGAUGGUCAACACAGCAUCAGCUAUUAAUUUUAAAGUAUAGGUAAGAAGCACUCACCCCUGUCUAAGAUGAUGCAGUCAUUGUAAUAGAUGUCAUAACGACUCAACCAGCCACCAGUUCCAUGGCCUCCAAAUAGCAACAGCUGCAUAAAUGGUUUUUGAACUCAAUUACAAAGCAUAUCAACAAACUAGAGUGAAUUUCAAUAUAAAAGAAAAUAUAAGAUUAACUAAUAAUCUCCAAUGCCAUCAUAAAAAUAUGAUCCUUCAAUCCACCCUUUAAUUGCAAAAUAUUUCCAGUUUUAUGCAACUGCAAUGAGGGUGACUUCCUGCCUAGAGAGAGGGUAUUUUUUUACUGGCGCAGCUGACAUAUCUACCACCCAAAUUUAAGGAUUACUUUGAGCCUAACUAAAAUUAACAAUAAUGCAUUAAACUAAAACAUAGUACUAUAUCAAACUAUCUAUGAAGAAUGUAAGAAGUAUGAACUUCUUCUGGGUCCGGAUGGUACAGAAUUAAUUUACAGUAUUGGUGUGGGUUAUAUUGAUGUAAGGAACAAAAGGGUUCUAGAUGACUGAUUCAUGAAUACAAAGGAGAAUCUUAAUCUUAAUGGGCAUGGACAGUCUCGCCAGUUUAUUGACAAACAUAAAACAAAGACAGAAAAACUAACAGAACUUUAAAUGUCAAUUACAUAGUGUCCUCCAGAUGUGAUGGUAUGGCCACAACGUGCGGAAGGAGCUUGACCUGGAAGCUUCAGUUGGGUCCAUCCGGGUGUUUCAUUCUCUUCCUUCCACAACAAAGACAAAACAAAAAUUUAAGUUGAAUAACUAAGAAACUAAGCAGUAAAGUAUAACAGUUAGAAUUGACUUACAUAAGGCCAAAACUCAUGAAGCUGAGUACUUUGAAAAAAAAAAAUAACAAGAAAAACCCAAAGCCAUAUACCAAAAGAAAAGAAAAAAUAGCCCAAUGCAUGUGAUUAUUGCACCACCAUCUCAAUACAAAGUUCAAGGGAGCUUCCAAGAGGGAAAUCCCCACAUUAAAAAAAAAAAAACAAGGAACAAAAGUGCGGCUUUCAGAGAAGUUCUUAUUUAGGGGAUUGGCAUGCUGACAGUAUACAAUAUCAAUGUUUUCACAAAUCAUAUACUUUCAGUACAUCAUAAAAAAUAUAAUCGCGCAGCAGAAUGUCUAGUAGAAAUUAGAGAAACUAUUGUUAGUUACAUGGCAUGAAUUAGAAGGCACAUCUGGACAUGCGCUUUUAUAGGAUGACAUGAUUUACGGCAAUAGGAAUAUAAGAUGGCUAUAAUCUUAAGAAUAAAAAUAGAAGGCAAGACUAGAAACAAAAAGCCACAGCAAAACUGAUCUUGAAAAACUGUAGAAAAGGGGAUCAACUAAGCAUCAGUAUCACUACUAACCUUCUUCGAUUAAACCCUUCAAAGCCCAUAAAUCACCCAUGAUGGGACCUCCACCUCCUACAACAUUCAAGAUAAUGUCAGCAAAAAGCAGCCAAAACCCCUUGAAUAAAACCAAUUUAUGCUUUCCAUUUUUUAAAUGAAACAAUCCUCGGUAAUCAAAUGGCGGUCAGUCAGUCAGACAGUAGAUGCUUGUUGUAUCAAAUUACUCUAGCCUUCAAAAAUCUGAAAGUAACAAUCUAGUGAUAUUAUCACUUGCUUUUUCUUGAUUUACUUGAUAAGGAAAAACCUAUCUGGCUCAUGCAGGAAAAAUAAACCACAGUUACAUCUGCAAUAAAGGAAUAUUCUGUGACAAGAAAGGGUCACCUUUACAGAUACAUUUCAUACCACAGAAUCAGCACUCAUAUUCCAUGAAAUGAAUAACCAAUUAUUAACAUAGUUGCAGCAUUGUACUUUACCUCUGCCACCAUACACAAGCAACCGUUUUUCAACCAUAGUAGCUGUGUGGCCACAUCUAGGUGGUGGCAAUGAUCCAGUCACUGACAGUUCCAUCCACUCUAGUGAUACUGUUCAAGGAAGAGUAAAGAAUCAAGUGAAUUUAUGAUCAUUUGAUUCAUUUCAUAAAGGAUCAACUCAACUAAACAUAAAGCAGCAAAUAGCAAAAUUAAAAAAAAUAAAAAGACUCAGAAAAACCAUUUACUUGUGUCCAAGACGUACACAUCUGACAACCACUUUUUACCAUCCCAGCCACCAUACCUGCAUUCAUUUCCAUAUUACUUAAUAAAAAUACUAGAGAGUUGUCACAUAAACUGGUAAAUGGAAAAGGCAAUGAUUAUAUGCUCACAUAAUAAUUUUCUGAUUUCCAAUAGCUGAAGCUGCAGCAAAGUCUCGUGCUGAGGGUAAAUCACCAAAGCUUGUCAACUCUGACCAUUGCCAUAUAUCUGGAAAAGACAAAUUUAAUUUACCCUCAGCAUGUCAAAAAGGAGGCCAAAACAAGCAUUAACCCAAGUAUAUUCACUCGUAUCACUCUAACACAUUUUUAUAAGAAAAAUAAAUAAUCUUACCAGUAUCUAGGACCCAAAAGUCACCUAACCUGAACAGGCCAACCUUAUAGUUAAUACAAUGUGGGGAGAUAAUCGAAAUAUAGCACAAUAUGUUGCAAGUUAGUGGAUGUCAACACACCUCUUGCUACCAUAACGCCCACCAAAGAUGAACAUAUGACAAUCAAUCACAACAGCAACAUGAAAUGCCCGAGGACUCGGACCAACUUGUCCAUCAGUGCCGCCAGUGCACUCUGGCUUAUACCAUAGUUUAUUAUCUGAAACAAUCAAAAGCCUGAAUGAGAUUCUUUACUUUUACUUGUGUGUAUGUCAUAGUUAAAUUUUUCCUCUUUCUUUUCUUGUUAUGAAAGAAACAGUCAACUUCAAAUUGCAAGAAUUUUAGUCCACACAAUCAUUUCCGACUAGAUAUACCAUGGUGCAUGAUGCUUUCUAUAGAAAGAAAAAUCGCAUAAAUUUAACUUUCCACUGUUCCAUUCUGUGUAUUAAGCACACAGUGAUUCUUCAAAGUCCAACUGAUGUGGCAAAAGAGGAUCUUGAAGCAAAAGAAGUAGGAGAAUCUGUGGAAGACAUUGCCGGCCAAUUAAAAGUUCCUUAUGAUUUACCGUAAGUUUUACCAUUUUUCAUAAAACUAAGUACAUCUACUUAGCUUGAGUGCAGAUAUCACAAGCACCCUCAUUUCUUUUGAUUUUACGAAUAAAUUAGAAAACCAUGGAUUAUUUGAUCACACAUUCUUCACAUUAUCUAUUUCAAUCCAUCCUUAACAAGAUAUUUGUUCCUCAAUACUUAGUCAAGCCUUUCACCAUUUCGACGAAACCAAACUACUGAUAUCAACUAAACCCUCCUCACUUGAACUGAUUUUGCAAAUAAAUUAGUAAACCCAUGGAUUCAUCUAUUCCGAUCCCUUCAAAUUUUGCAUUGUAAAAGUAAAACGGUAAAAUCCAAGUAAAACUAAGGUGGAAGGUGUGAGGGAUUGAGUGUACCAAUAUCAUAGACGACGAUAUCGGCGAGGAACUUCUUGUCCAAGAGGCCUCCGAAGACGAUCACUUUUGAUUUCCCAAUGUUGACGGCAGUGUGACCACUGCAGAAUUCAGUAUUCAAACUUCAAAAUUCAAAAAAAAAAAAGAAAAAAAAAGAAAGGAAAAUUUAACAUGGAUGAGAUUCGAUUAGAGAGAGAGAUGAAGUGGUGUGCCUGCGAGGUUGAGGAAGAGUUCCGGCGAAAUCAGAGGAAGAAGCUCGAACCCAGUAAUGCAUCUUUGUCUCUUCUGUGCUAUUUUACCGAUCCAAACAAAGAAAUCGGUUCUUUCACUUCUUUGAGGAGAGUUGUAUGUUUUUUCGUUUUUAAACCAAGGUGUAACAGUUCACGGUAGAAUCUUAGCAAUUCAGUACAAAAUCGGUCAUGUUUGUUUGUCACAAGUGGGACUGCGACAAAUAAGGGAGUGCAGUUUGGUUAGUUCACGUUACUAGGUAUUAAAUUAAAUUAGUUUAAGUAACACUGUGUUUAGAUAGUGUUAAACUGUUAGUGUCAAAAAUUUAGUAUACAUAUUUAUGUGUCAUACAAACUAAAUAUGUGGCUAUCAUUACUUGAAAGAUGUAGUCAAGUGAGCAUUUACCCCCUCCAAAUGCUCUUUAUAUGCCUUGCAUAGAAGUGAGUGGAUCACUUUGUCAAUACGUGGGUACUCAGGUUGAUCAUCUUUAGACAACACCAUCUUUUUAAACUAUAUAUAAACCAAACAAACUAUCAUCUAGUCUCGUUAAACACCAAAACAUGAGUUAAUAUUAGUACAACUUAAGACAACCUACAUCAAUCUAAGACAAUCUUAACAAAUAAAGAUGUGUAAUGUAGUCUUGAAUACCAAUGUAUAGAUAGGUAGAGCAUUCAUAUGGUAAGUGUGUGUGCACAAUCCUACCUCUACAAUAGUAGGAUGUGUCUAAAAAUUAUAUUGAUCUUGGUCCGUCUUUGUUUAAGAGCCAAUGCAUAUGUUAUGGGUGUGUUCGAUCAAUUUUCAUAUCUUAAUUUGAUAUUUAUACAUCCUAUGAGAUUAAAAUUUAACUCUAAUUAGAAUCGGCAUUGAACUCCACACGAGACGGCUCUUACCAACUUGACCCUCCAUGUCUGAGGAUCCCUUAUUUUUGUUUCCAAUGUGUCACUUGGAUCAAUUAGGCGUGUGGGUUUGUUAGAUAAUUCAAGCCCAAAUGCCAUACCCAUAGCUCUUGUUUCAUACAGACCAGAGCUAACUGAUAAACAGUUAAACACAGCCAAAGUCUCUCCGCUCCGGCGGUGAAAGAAAUCAAAAGCGCCACAAGCAAUGGCGUCGCUGCUCCUCUCACCUCUCCGCUUACGCCAUUUUCUCUACAAAAGGCCUAAGCUCAAACCCCCUUCUCCACUCUCCUUCUCUUCCUUCAAACCCCUCCUCAAACUCCGCCCUCGCUUCCCUCCCUAUUUACAGUCCUGCCACCGCUCUUCCACCGCCUCUUCCUCCCCACUCGCCGACUCCGACCACAAAACCCACGCGCUCCUACUCGGCAGAGACGAGCGUGCAGCACCACUCAAUGGGUCCCAUCCGCAGCCGCAGCCGGAGAACGCGACCACAAUCGCCGCCAUUGUGACGUCACUCGGGGGCCCGCCCGGUGCGGUCGGGAUCGUGAGGCUGUCCGGUCCGUCCGCCGUGGCCGUCGUCGGCCGCGUGUUCCGUCCGAGCAGGAGGAAGAGUAAGAGUAAGAGCCCAUGGCGACCCACCAGUCAUGUGGUUGAAUACGGCGUGGUUUUGGACCCAAACGGCAAUGUGGUCGAUGAGGUAGUCUUUAAAGUCUCUUGCUUUAGGGUUUAGGGUUUAAAGUCUCAUACUUUUAGGGUUUGGGGUUCAAAGUUUCGUACUUUGAGUGAAUGUGAUUGAUAUUGUUGAAUAAUUUAGGUUUUAGCUGUGCCUAUGUUGGCGCCGAGAUCAUAUACACGUGAAGAUGUUGUGGAGCUUCAAUGCCAUGGGACUCAGGUGUGUCUGAAUCGGGUUCUCAGAGCUUGUUUGGAAGCCGGAGCACGCCUCGCGGAACCAGGUGACUUCAUUUCCUACACUCUCCCACAUUUAGCUUACUUGAAAUGGAAUUGAAUUUUUAGCUUGAAAAUGUGUAACACUUUUGCUAUAAGAUUUGAGUAGAUACAAAAGGGUUAUCACAUGUAACACUACAUUUGUGAUUUUUUGUGUUGUAGGGGAGUUUACUCUGCGUGCUUUUCUCAAUGGCCGGUUGGACCUGACUCAAGCUGAAAAUGUUGAUAAACUGAUUUCGGCCAAGUCUGUGGCUGCAGCAGAUGCAGCACUGGCCGCAAUUCAGGUAUGCGUCUGUUAUUGUCUUCUAUAAUUAGUGUAUUUAUCCAACUUUUUAUCCAAGGAAGUUAUGAACUAAGCACUGACAGAAUUUGUAUAUUGGCAGGGUGGCUUUUCUUCCAUGGUAAAAUCUGUAAGGUUUCAGUGCAUUGAGUUGCUUACAGAAAUUGAAGCUCGGUUAGAUUUUGAUGAUGAGAUGCCACCACUUGAUAUCAAUCAAGUUGUAAAUAAGAUACAUUCCAUGUCACAAGAUGUUGAGAGUGCUCUAGAGACGGCCAAUUACGACCAACUUCUGCAAUCUGGAUUACAGGUACAAUUUCUAACAUUCUUUUUUACUUCAUCUAUACCAAGAAAGAAGCUUAUUUCUUUCACUUCACUUCUUACGUCGUAUGAGCAGUUGUGUUGUUUAUAUAUCUGGGUUUCAAAGUAAGUCUUUAUUCUAUGGAUGCCUUUAUGUGCACAACUUUGAAUACUUAAGCUAAAGUUAGGACUUUGAUAUGUCAAUGGUAAGUUUCUUUUUGUUAUGGGAAGCAAAUCAUGGGUUUUAUUUUUCAAAAAAAAAAAGAAGGAAAAGAAGUGUAUAUGGUGCCUUAGUUGCUUAAAGGGGACUUUAUAUUAGUUUUUUUUAUUGAACUCUACUUUAUUUCUUAAAGGGGACUGCUUAUUUGUGUUUUAUGGUAGUCUGGGUAUACGUCGUUGGUGUAUCCUUUUAUAUCUUUUUGACAUUUUGAAUGUAGAUGCCUUCUAUGUUUCCAUUAUCUACAAUUCAGACACUUCUGAUUUAUGGAACUCUUUUGAAUAUAUCACAGAUAGCGAUUCUGGGCCGUCCAAAUGUUGGGAAAUCAAGCCUCCUCAAUGCAUGGAGCAAAGUAAGUAGUGGCAGCUUAUGCACAUUCUUUUAUUCCAGUUGAUGAUGUGUCUGAUGCCAUAAUUUCACAUGCUUGCUUAUAUGUAGAUAUAUGCUGUAUCACUACCACACAUUGAAUAUUUUGAAAUCUCAUAAAUGUUAGUUCUUGGAAAAACUGCAUAAUAGGAUUUGUAGAAUGUGGAGCCUUUUUGAAGAAGCUGUCUUAUAUAAUCUACUGAAGUUACUUAACUAUGUUCUUGGAAAAAUUUUGGGUUUUACAGAUACCUCUAUGAAAAUGUUACAGAAGCAGUGAAACAAUUGGUAUAGAUCAUGUGAGGCUAAAUUGUUAAUUAAUAAGCACUCCAUUUGGUUGAUAAAGCUACUGAGUGGAUGCUAUCAUUUUUGAGUCUCUCGUCACUAAUAUUAACUUUAUUGGCUUUUGUUGUGGGUGUGUGGUAAGGUUAGAAGAAACAAUUAUAUUUCAAGAAGAAGGAAAUUUAUAGUGUAAGCCAUGUUUGAUGGGUGUGGUUUACUAAUGUGGUGUUUUCUCUUUGGUUGUUCUUUUUAUCUGCUUAGCAAUUUCUGGAAGCAUGAGAUGUUAUUGAAUGCUGCUUCUUUAUUUUAGCGUGCAGACUGAGAGAGCUAUAGUUACAGAAAUUGCUGGGACCACUCGGGAUGUGGUUGAAGCCAGUAUUACAGUUGGUGGUAUUCCUAUAACCCUUCUUGAUACAGCAGGCAUCAGGGAAACCAAUGACGUGGUGGAGAAAAUCGGUAAACUCUCUCUCUCUCUUUGCUCAGUCUUGAAUGGCUAGAUAUCCAUAGUUGAUGUAUAUACAUGAUGGAACAUGAAACCAAUUUGGUAAAACUGCCUCUAUUUUUUCUUAUUUUCUUAAAAAGACUACAAACAAGUUUGGCUCAUACUAGAAUACUUUUCUAGUAACAUAAGAAUUCGGUUAUUUUCAAUAUUGAUCAAUUUGAAUUGGGUAGGGCCAUGGGCCUUUCUAUGAAAAGUGAGAUACUUCACUGUAUUCCAUUUGGAGUGUUUUGUCUUUGCUGCUUCUAAGAUCCCAAAGAAAUCUGUACUUUACUGAGGUCAUUUUUGAGUUUAGUUUUAUAGUGACAAGUAGAAUAUCACCGAAGAUAUUCACAAUUGCAUUUAUUUCUGAGUAAUCAUGAUGUAAUCACGGACCAGUUGACAAUUGUAAUGUUGCUAAUUGGAUAUUAAUUGCUGACAACCAAUGAUAUCGUACUUCGCUGGAUGCUUGUUUUAUUAUGGCAUUGGGUAUCACUAUUGGAUAUCUAAAUUCCUUUAUCUCCUUUAUAUCACAGGUGUGGAGAGGUCAGAAGCAGUGGCUAUGGGUGCUGAUGUUAUUAUUAUGACAAUAAGUGCUCUUGAUGGCUGGAGUCCAGAAGACUCUGAACUUCUUGACCGAAUUCAAUCUAACAAGGUACCCUCUCAUUUCUCUGUCAUAUGAAUAUGCCUGUAUCUGCAUUUGUUGAUCCUUGUCUUUGAUUAUGCAAACUGCUGCUCAGGCUAUACAACUCUGAUCUGUUAUGUCAUUUACAGAAAUCGACUGGAUCUUCAACUCCAAUCAUCCUUGUAAUUAACAAAAUAGAUUGUGUUGCUUCUGAUUGCUUGGAGCGGGUUCAACAAAAUGUCGGUUCUUUCAAUAACCAUGUUUUGACAUCUGCAAUCACUGGUCAAGGAAUCCAAGAUUUGGAGAAGGCAAUAUUAGAUAUUGUUGGUCUCAACAAAUUUCGAGGAGGGAGUCGAAGGUGGACUGUGAACCAGGUUAGGAGUUGGUUAAAUUUAUAUAUUUUGGUGUCUGUGACAUACCAAAAAUUUAAAGCAUUUUCUGGUCAAGAUAUUUUUGUUAUUUUUUAUUUUUUGAGAAUGUGCUGGUCAAGCAUUUGCAAUCACUGAUUGUUGUAUAAAAUUUUGAUGAUGCAUCAGAGACAAUUCGAGCAGCUUGUCCGAACAAAAGAGGCUCUUGCAAGGUUGAAAUCCUCAAUAGAGGAGGAAAUUCCUUUUGACUUCUGGACGAUUGAUUUGAGGGAAGCUGCAAUGGCCCUUGGCCAAAUAAGUGGAGAAGACAUUUCGGAGGAGGUUUUGACCAACAUCUUUGGCAAGUUCUGCAUUGGUAAAUAGAAGAGCUAGAAAAUGUAUUGAUCUGUAGAAAGUUUUGUACCAUGUUAGAUAUGAAGGGAGAGACGGUUCUUUACCAUGAACAACAGAGUUCAUAAGAAAUUUUUAAUGGAAUAACAAUGUCAUGAAUGCUCUUUUGUUUUAUGCCGGAUUACUUGUCUAUAUCUAUCUUAGACUCUGAGUCGUUUUGGAGAUAGCUGAAUAUGAGAUCUCAGCUUUAGGUAUUAGGAACCAAAGAAAAAUGGCCUUUUUGUGGCUUGACAUGCAAUAUGGAAAUGCCAACAAAUGUUCUUUGGACGGCAAUGUAUAGAUGACAAGAGAAACAUUGUAACGCAAGAAACAACAAAUGAGACGGCUGCCACUUGAAAUCAACCCAGAUGGUACAAAACAAAAGCUGAUAUAUAUUCAUGCAUUCUUCAGAAAAGUGAACUGUAAUCCUCUAAAGCAAAAUGUGUUUCAAAAUAGGAAAAGAACUGACGAAGGAGGAACUAAAGGAGAAGGAGAAGAUAAUGAAAGCCAAGGAGAAGGAGAAGAGGAAAAAACUAGAACAGGAGAAAGAGUUGGAGAAGAAGAGGCUGGAACAAGAGAUGAAGAAGAGGCAAGAGAAAGAGAAGAAGAAACGUGAAGAAAUGAAACGAAAAGAGAAGGAGAAGGCGAAGAUGAAGAUGAAGCACAAGAUGAAGAAAUGAGCAGCUCAACUGGAUUUCCUCAGAUAGUCUAGUGUAACAUUUUGUAUUUCAACUUUUGGCCUAGUGAUUCUUGCCUAAACAGCAAUUUUUUUAAUUUCAUCAAGCUUUGUGUCCCUCAAAAAUUUGAAUUGAAUCUUCAUAAUGAAAAUUUGGGAACACUUACAAAAACGGACGAGGCAAAAUGAAUAUGUAAUUAUAAACUGAAUAAUGAACAAUUCUUACAGGAUAUUACAGACUAUAUCAUAACUUUAUUUUCAAGCAUCAAUGAGCCAUGUAGGAAAAUAAUGACACAGAGCCUGCAAAUGCUGGUUGUUUUACUAUUGAAGCUAUCUAUUCCCCUUAUACUUUUACUUGUGGUUGUGACUAACAAAAUUUACAAUGUAGAACAAGUCUACUCACUAACACCCUCUGCCUCAAUAUACAAUGAAGCUUCUCUAUCAGCCAACUAAAUCAUUGAUGUGUCUGAUAUGAAAGCAGUCACUGUGUUCUUAUAUCUGCUAAGAUCAAAUAAGAAAUGCACCUACGUGUCGAUAAAACUAUGAUUCAGGCACAUACAAGCACAACAAAUUCGUGGGACUGUGGUCGCACAUGAAGAACCAACGUUCCCAUCACCCAAGCACCUUCCGGAGUUCCUCAACCAACAAUGAUCGGCUUGAUGGCUCAACCUGCGUUAGAAUUUCAUCAUUAGCUCCAGGUGGCUAGAAAUAAAAAAGACAGGAAUUUGUAAAAAAAAAGAAAAAAAAGAAAAAAGAAUAAACAUGAUGAUUUACCUUGCUUAGAAGGGCGGCAAGACCUUGGGGUAGGGCUUGCAAAUCAGAAGCUGAGUUGCCAAUGGUUGCCAAUUGAAGCAAUACCUUCUGGACCCGAAGUUCUUUUAGCUUGCCCUCAUAAUUUGUUUGAUCAUCCUUCCAUCUAAAGAAAGUUUCAUCAUCCUCCCAAGCAUCUUCUUUGCCUCUUGAAACAUCAGAACUCAAAAACCAGUUCUUGAUCAAAUCCAUAGCAGAUUUAUGUGACAGCUGUUCACCAGCAGCAUCUCUCACUAUCUUGAUGAGUGACUCAUCGGCAAUUCUCCGACGCAAUCUCUUGUAGAAGAAAGAUCGAGAGCUGGCCCAUUCCAGAACUCCUCUGAUUACCCCUUUUGCAGCCAUCCUCAGAGAAGUAUCAUGAAGUUCUGCAAACUUGGUAGCUAUCUGAGUGUAGACAGGCAAAAGCUGUUUUUCGCGGGAUCGUAUUUGAAACUGUAGGGACUCAACCUUUUCAUUUGCCUCACAGCUCCUGGCUUCCUGAAGCUGAGUCUUUAGUUGGAUCAGCUGUUGAUCAAGCCUGCCCAUGCACUCCAGCAAUUCCUUGUUCCUAAACUUGAUCUCGAUCAUCCCCUCUGGCUCAAGCACAUUUCCUCUAGCCGUUCGAUCAGCAUACAUUUCAAUAUGGUCUGGAUUUAUCCGGCUAUCAACAACCACCCAUGCUCCACCACGUAGCUCCCCCAUCAUCGGGAUGAAUACAAAAACAGGCUGUUUGUAAGUCCUAAGGUUCUCCACAAUGGUUGAUCCAGCCUGAAGAAUCCCUUCAAAAAGGUCUCUCUGCCCACCAGAAAAGCCUCUCCAGUUGGCAAGAAUGAAAAGUGGGAGUCCUUCUCUGUUGAAAUCUAAUAAUGCUUGGGCAGUCUUAGUAGCAGAAUCAGGAAACCAUACUUGUCCAGCCUGAGGAACAACCCUCUCAUGGGAAUCAAGCUGGCCUGGAUCAGCAGGGAUAAUUUGCAUCACAGUCUGUGUCUCAACAGCAACAAUUCCCACAGGGAUUCCUCCAAGCUUCGCCCUUCCAGUAACCACCGUCCUUGCCCAGCCUUCUAGCGUCUCAACAAAGCUGUCUUUAUCAAAUAUACCCCCCAUCCAGUUCCCAUUACCAUUCAGAGCACCAGAAAUCGCAGCUCGAGGAUCACAUGAAUUCUCCGGGCAAUACUCCACGGGCCUUUCUGGAGGAUCCAAGGGCAUCGAAAUGGGGAGUGGGCCACCAACAUGAGGAGGAACAUAGCUCAGCCACUUUAGAAUAGCAGAUAUUCCUUCAAGAUCAUCAGCUACCGUUAGAUGGACAACCCCAUUAGUUCCCAUAAUUUUAGGUCCUCCAAGUUGCAUAUGGGAGCUGUACACCUCCCGACCAAGUAGUUUGUUUAAUGCAGAGAAACCAGUUAAAAUGAUGGGCUGAUCAAGCCUCUGUAUGCACCGCAUCCCAAGCCUUGCAAGAUAAGCACCUAUACCUACAGUUCUGCCAGUCACAUAUGUUAAGGUAAAGGUUUCCUUAUAUGCCCUCGAAUAUGCACCAGCAAUUGCCCCACUUCCAGUCAAGCUCUCAACCCCCAAGCCAUCCUCCUUUCCGACAAUGGUAUCUAUCACCCAUCUGGUUUCACCACUUGAUAGCUUUAUUUCAUGCGCUAUCACAGAAGAUCCAAUCCGAGCAUAGUCCUCAGAGGUUAAAUACACAUAUUGGAAACCACGUUCAGGGCUUGAUUCAUCAGACCAGCCCACUUUAAAACAGGAUUUGACUUCUUCAGCAACCCCAAUACGAGCACCUGAGUUUGCUGCCAAGUAUAUUAGAGGCAACUUCUCAGCACAAGCAAGCUCAGUUACUGCAAAGAAGAAUGCAUCCUCUCUUGGACCAAAAGAUCCAGCUUUGUAGGUCACAUCAUUUGCAACAACCAAUAUCUUCCUUCCAGAAGGGAACUCAGGGGUAGACAUUUCCAUAAACCAUGCUAUCAUACCAACAUCAUUGAGUCCAGGUGGACGCUCUACGGUAAUGAGAGGAGUACCCCAGCUGCCUUUUUGGUCAGCGAAUUUGAGCUCUGUGACCUUGAGAAUUUUACCCUUUAGUUUGUUAACACUUGGUGACUGGGAUGCCCAUGACUGUUCCAAGGCCGUCUCAAACGCCUAUUAAAAACAUAAAAACACAAGUUAGUUUUACCAUAUCUGUAAACUGUGUAAAACAUAAAAUUAUUUAUUGAAAAAGAAAAAAAAAAUAAAGAAACAUUCCUAUCAGACAUCUCACCAGUGGAAAAUCAUAGCAGUAAGUGGUGUUAGUUCUCCUGGCCAACAGACGCUUUCGGUCAAUAAUCCCCAAAGGCUGAUAUUGCUCAUUCACUGGUACACCAUGCAGGGGACCCUUCACAGAGACUGAAUGGUAAACCACUCUCUGUUUGCUAGUAUCUUCUUGUUCCCGAUAUAUCUGAAUAUCAUGUUGACCAAAAGUACAAUCAUGACUCAUAAUUCAUAUUCACAUUGUCGUCUGAUCAGAAUUUAGAAUAACAUACCGGUCUUUUGCUAUAUUAUUCACAGCUUAUUUAUAUUAUUGGGGUUUCCUUGAAUAAAAGAUCUAAGAAAAAAAUAUGCAUGAAAUAGUGAAGAUUUUUUUUUUUACUGAUAUUAUUCUUCCAUUGGUUAAAUGAAGAUUUUUUUUUCCCUGAAAAUAAAUAUAGAUUCUAUCUUAAGUUGAAUAAAAUGUAGUGCAAUGUCAGUAUUAAAGAAAAUACUGAUAGGACCCAUCCUUUGUAAACCAACCAAUGAAUUCUUAAAAAAAAAAUGCAAGCAUAUUCUUCAAUGAAAUGUAUGCGAUAUAUAUAAACAUACAUGUACAGUGCAGGUAUGACCGGUCACAUUUGUCACGACAACCCUCCAAGCAACGUUUGCCUGUCCAGAGGAUGCCAUCCACAACUUCACUUCCCACUCACAAACACCCAACCUAUGCAUCCUUACACCAACUGAUGCGUGGAUUUCACGUGCAAGUUCUUCCAGGAUGGCCUCCACCACAGUUUCUUCUUGUUGAGCAUCUAAAUCAACUCUCCUACACAAUAAUACCAAUAAGAAAUUCUAGAAAGUUGGCUGUCUUAUCAUGGAAGAAAAAAAAUUGGAUGGGAAAAAGAAAUAUUUACUUGUGGUAAGGCAGCAUAUCAUUAAUUUGUUGCUCACGUAAGAUAUAAAGAUACAUAUGGGUGUGGUCAGAUUUGACAGUGGCAUUGUGCGCAUUCAAUUCCAGCUCUUCCAUUGCUGUUGAUAAGGACCUCAAGAUGCUCCUCGAAGUAAAUGAUAAAGCCAAUUGGUUACUAGCUGUUGCGAUGUCUAGCCGUUGAAAUCCAGAGAACCCUUCAUUUGUUGUGGGCUGCCUUACAAGUGUUCUGAGGAACAUCCUUUGGAUCGGUAGCGGCUUGUCUACAACGGUGUACAGGUGCCAUUGACGGUCACGGGAUGGGGUAUACUGGAUAUUCUCAUAGCCCUUAAGCUUGUCCUGGAUCAGAAGAAAUGUUGAGUUACUUCAUAUCAAGGGUUAAUGCGAGAACAAUUUGUCACUCUUAACAUAAGGGCUAGGCAUAAAGCCAGGAAAUUACCAAUUCAAGAUAAAUAGAUAGAGGAGGUUCUAGGUGACGCAAUAAGGGUUCUUCUUCAAAAUAGAGUUUCUCUGAUGACCAGUGGAAGGAGUGCCUCAUAGGGGGCCGCCCUUCAUCCCUUUGUAUGAUACAACUAAUUACUGUGACACCUGCACCAUGUAGACUGGAGGCUAGUCCUUGCUCUUUAAGUAUUUUGGCUAACUUCUUAAUUCUCUCUUGAGCCUGAUCCUCGUCGCCACUGGCAAAUAUCAAAAGACAAUGCUGGUCAAGAUGGUAAUUUUAACUGUAGGUUCUGUUUGACAUGUCUUUGCAGAUAGACAAAGAAACCAAAAAAUGUCUAUGACAAGAUGGGUCCUCCAGAAAUUUUAUGUGCAUACUAAUCCAAGUCACUAAGUUAUGAACCAAUUAAAAGAGAACCCCAGUAUUGCAGAUAAAGUAUACACUCUAACAUGCGAAGGGGCUCCCAAGAUUCAAUGCAUGAUUAACUUUAAGUUGCAAACUUCAAGGCUAAAAUAAUGGGCAGAUACAGUACCUAUCCUGUAGCAGACUCAUCUGAUUGUUGAUGCCAACCAAAGCAAUAUGCAUCAUAUUACCAAAGCCACUUGGUUCAGUAGAUCCAUUUGGAGUUGCUUCAUGAAGGUUAUGCGACAUUUCCUUCAGUGCACCACUAAUAAUUGCUGGAAGAAAGUGAAGAGAUUUUAUUAUAACCAUGACUCCCCAUUUCCUCUCCUCGUGUUUCUGAAGGAAUGUUUUAUUAACUGAUUGAUCUUCAAUCUCAUGUUUCCUCUCAACAGGUUCUUCCGAGAACUCCCAUGAAGCUAUUAGACCUGAUCUGUGCCACUGCAUCCUGACACUCCCCUUUACAAGGUAGGGCUGAUGACGAAUAAAAAGUUAAACAAAGAAAUCGGCUAUUGAAAGUAAAGUAAGCAGCAGUGAAAUGUUAAACCACAGUACCUGGUAUAACCGGCGUACAUAACUUUCGACAACCCGCCUCUGAAGGGUGUGAUCACCAUGAUCAAACAGACCAACAAGGGCAUCUUCGACUGCCAAAGGUGCACUCACAAGAUCCUCCAUUCGUUCAUUUAUGGCACUUUUCCUCUUCGGAGUAUCCAUGGUUUCACCAUCCUCAGUAAACAUCUCCAACUCAGAAAGACUUCUGGCAAUGCUAGAACGAAGUUCACUCAACUUGGUUUGCUCCAUCAGCUGACUCGCUUUUAGUGCCAACUGUAGAUUUAGAGUAAUUAGGACUCUUCAAAAACUUAAGGAUACUAGUCUAAAAUGGCGAUUAUAUUUGAAAACUUAAAUAACAAGAAAGAAAUAUAUGUAUAUUAAAAGCUAACAGUUAAGCAACUUGGUUAAAUUGGUGCAAUAGCCAACCUGAGAAUAAUUUGUAUGGUUAAGUGAAGAAAACCGAAUUAGCUUCUCCCUGUAUGCUGCAGGGUUGGGGUAUACCAGCUGUUCCAUGAGUCGUAGAAUCAGCUUAUUUUUAUUCUUUACACCCUGAAAGCAAGUGAUAAACAGUACUGUUACAAAAUAAUUCCAAUAAAAAAUUGAAUGAGACGUGGGGAAGGCAAGCAGACCGAGAAUGUUGUAAUUUAGGUACCUGAUGAGAGAGCACAAUUUCCACAACCUUCAAUAGAUCCUUCUUAUAUUGAAGUCGAAGGCGCUCAAUUACAUCAGCCUGGAGCAAAGAAAUAUGAUAAUCUUAGGAUUCAAGCAUCGGAAUAUACUUUCACAAAUUUACAUAGUUCAUAUCUAUGUGGGGGCAGCUCUCAAGUCUCUAAUUUAACUGGUUGCAGCAGAACUACAAAGCUAAAUACCAAGCUUAAAUUCCAAUUAUAAGUAACCAAUGUAUUUAUUUAUGAUAACUUGAUCAAGUACAUAUAAAACAGAGAAUCAAAACCAAAAGAGAGAAAAUAAAAAUAAAAUCAAACUGAGACAAAAAAAAGGUUAAUUAUGAUUGAUGACAUGGCCAAACAAAGGAUUGGAAGUUAUACACCACCUUAUAUUAAAAAUAAUAUAAAAAAACAAUUAUGACUACCAAGCAUGUUUCCGUGAUAUGUAACAAGAAAACAACUACAAGUGGUUUGGUUUUUCUCUUGUAUGCAUGACUAUAUACUGUUAUACCAUAAUCAUGCCAGCACGUUGAUUCAUUAUAAAACCCAAGAGCAAAGGCCCUUUAUGAGCAUAAGUAUGGUACAUCAAUAAAGUAUAUUGAAAAAACAAACUCCAUUCAACUAUGCACACAAAAAUGGUACUGGAGUUGCUCACAUUAAUGGCUUGAUAAUUGUAAACAACUAUUUUUUUCAUGGUGAAAGUCGAACCUGAAUGUUGUCACUGAAUAAUUCUUCAACUGACAGAUACUCUUCAAAAAGGGAUUGAACAAUAACUCGGGCAUGACUUUCUCUUCCACCUUCAUAAGACUUCACAAGGCUCAUUAAAGGUUCAACAAGCCUUUCUUGGGCUCCUUUUUCUUUAUCAGGAGAGGAGAACAGAUGAGCCUGCAGAUACAUCAGACCAAUAUUCUUAUGAGGAAGAUGAAAAAAGAGAAGAAGCUAGAUGGAGUUUGAAUACAGAACUCACCUCGAGAACGCUACGCAACAAUUUGGCAGGGAAAUCAACAUUCUGAGAGCUAGAAAUCAGCUCAAAAUCCUUACAUUUUGAUUCCAGCUGUAAAGUAAAAUGAAAGAAGAGAUAUGAGUAAAGACUAUUGCAGAAUAAAUCAGAGGGAAAACCCACCCAGGCCUGCUUACUUCAUUUUUCAGAUUCUUGGGUAGGCGGGUUGCUAAAACAGCCAAGCAUUCUUGCCAUUGAAGGAAAGGGAGUUCGGGACUAUCUAGGCAAUUGAGCAAGUUUUGCACUACCUGAGAUAGAUGACAGACUCUUCAAUAAGACGGGUUUAAGUAUGAUGUAAUGAUCUACCAAAUGAUAUUAUAGACAAGAAAAAGAAUAGAUAAAUACAUAUCUCAAAUAUUAUGUUUUACAAUGAAAGACAACUCACUUCAUCAAUGUUAUGCUCAUAACCAGCAAGAAUCAUUCGGGCUGCGUUUAAGCUUGCAGCACAUCUCUGAUGAACUUUACCAGAAAUUGCAGUUGGAGGCCCCAGGACAGGGAAGCUUCCAUGGAAAGGUUCUGCCUUUCUUACAGCCGAAGGGUCAUCUAAAUCAAGCCUUGCAAUAAGUUCACCAGCCUAUACAAAAAAACAUUAACUUUUUUUAUUUCCACUAAGAUAAGAAUGUCUUUUUGUUCUUUUAUUUUAUUUAUUUAUUGUGAAAUUAGUACGUGAUUUACCUGCAUUGCCUGGCCUUCAGACAAUUGAAAGUGGAUAACUCCUGAAGCAGGUGAAAGUAGAGGCAUACACAUCUUCAUAACCUCAACCUCCGCAUAUGGUGUAUCAGCAUCGACAUGACUAUCAUCAGCAACCAAGAACCUCAACAGCUUGCAUGGUGUCUCUGCUAUUAACUUGGAUGGAUCAUGAUCGUUCUAGAUUCAACAAAGGUCAACUACUCAGCAUAUGUAAUGUGUGAGCAAGCAAGCGAAAUGAGGAAAGAAGAGCAGUGGAGGAACCUGAAGCAAGCAUGUCCGUCCAUCAAUAAGAAGGCGAGUUCCAGCUGCUUCUUCCUCUGCAUAUAUAAUGUGACUGUUUCCAUCCAACUGUAACAACAUUUAAGUAAUAAGUAACAGCAGCAGCUGACAGGUGCAAUUAUACAGUAUGUACCAAGUGUUGGUGCACAAGAUAUUGUGGAUGCAGCAAAUUGUAAGAAUAUAUUAGCAUGCCGACAUUGACAUGAUUAACCUGAUUGAUGACAUUUUUAGAGGUGCCAAAAUACACUUCUUUAAUCAAAAUGACAAUUACUGUAUAAAUUAAAUAGUCCUACUACAAGAUAAGUAAUACGAAAUAUGAGCAAGAGUAGAAUCACUUUUGGAGCUACGACAUGAAAAUUCUAAAGACAAUAGUUAUACUUGCCUGCAUCAGUAAUCCUCCAUCGCGUAAAGUAUGUAUCUCUGCUUCAACCUCUGAGUCAUUCAUCCGCAAUCUAUAGUUCCCAGGGCCUCCUCUCACCAUAUCAAUCUAGAAUAGUUGAUUGUUGGUUAUAUAUAACUAUUGAUUCUACCAACAAUAAAUCUCCUAAAGGUCCUAAGACAUAAAUUAGACUUGGAAUGAACCAACAUCAUAGGAGAAAAUACCGUGUAUUUGCUCCCCUCGAUGUUCAAAGACACUUGUGAAUGGACAAAUGAUAUAUGCUGCAAUCAGGAUCAUAAUUAAAAGAAAAAUGUUAAUUAGAAAAGACACAUAAUCAUGUAUGUAGAUUAAAACUUUUUACAACCAUACCUUAGGUGGGAUUUGCCCCUUCUCAAGAUAGCCAAUAUAAUCUGAAACCAUCGCCGCACUACUAGCAGAUGCUUUCUGAACAUGACAUAGGUAGGAACCAUAAGGGACACACUUUGCAAAUGGAAUAAUAAAAAUUAAACAACAAUGAAAAUAGUGGCACUUACAGAAAGAGUCCCUCCAAUUACAGACAGAUACCAAGGAGGCCUUUCAGUUCUAACUCGCAUAGCAAUUCUACUAUCCAACCAACCUGUGUGGAUUUUAUUUUCUCUGUAAUCUGAAGCCUACAACAUGUUAAAAAAACGUUACUUGGCAUGCCAUGAAAAUAUUAUGUCAUUUACAUUAUCUAUUUCAUUGAUUACGGUAUUGACUUCAUUCAGAGAUAUUGUGAAGAUUACAUGUAAAAGAUCAAUUGAAUAAUCCACAUUUGUUCGAAUUUCUCCUCGAAUUUGAAUUUCCUUCAGCCCAAGAACCAUAUUUGCAAUAGCUAGAGCUCGAGACUCUCCAAAUGCAAAAACAUGUCCUGGAGAACAAAACAUAUAAUUUGAGAUUUUAAAACUGUAUGGUCCUACAUUAUUUAGAUUGUCUUUGCUAUUACCGAAUAAAAUAGAAAAUUCAAAAAACUUAGCAGUAUACAUACCAAACUGAGAAUCUGAGAACUCAUGAAUCCCCCCUCCAGACUGCAAGUCAAAACAUCUAUCAGAAUUAGUUUGAGAAUUACAUCUUCCUUCUUUCCUCUUCUUUUCUGAGGAAAUGCAUUGUUAUCAACUUCCGAGAUUUUACCUUAACAGAAAAGUAUGCCCAAACAUUUGGCUUGCUUUUGAAACUCAGCUCCUGCAUAUAGUAGCUUAACUCAGUAUAGAUCCCUCAAAGCAUUAUGGGAAAGAAAGAAAACGUGAAACUGACGAGUCAUGAUAACAAACCUGAACUUUCCCACUAGUAGGUUUAAAGCCAUCAUCUGGAUCCUCACUUGUUACACGCACAGCAACACAAUGGCCCUUUGGCCUUGUAGAUUCUGCCUUGUCAAAGUCAAACGGGGUGGCAACAACCGACGUCUUUCUCCACGCAUCAUAUCCACUACCAUGUUCCAUUCCAUAGAACCGCCUUAUCUCUAAUCAAAUGAAUAAAUGGAAAAAGAAAACUUGACAAAUUAGAAGUUCGACUCAGACAAAUAAAUAUAUAUUUGAAAAAAAAAAACAGUUCCAGAAAAUAAGAUGAUACCAGGAAUUUGCCAGAGAGGAAUGCCCAUCCCAACUGCAACUUGGGCUGCUGGCAGAUUUAUUUCUGCUAUCCACUCAGUGACUGGGUGCUCCACCUACAUUGAAUUAAAUCUACAGAUUUAGCACGUUCAAAUUAAAUGUUUUGAGAAAAAGAUGCAAGAAUAGAAGCCAACUCAGUUUGCCCAUGGAUAGACAUUAGUAGAAGCUAUACAAAAUUCUUGCUAUCCUACUGAUCAUAUAAUUCCAAUCCCUUUCUAAGAGGUUGCAUUAAGACUGAUGGCUUGGUUAGUACAUAUAAAGCAUAGUUUCUUUUUAUGUUCACUUUAAUCACACACAAUACAUGUGUCACUGUAUUAUUCAAUAACCAAAACAAAUUUAAGAUGGUAUUUGAGAACAGUAAGUCAAAAUGAGACGGCAGCCAAAGUUAAGGCUUGAACCCAAAUAACACACCUGCAACCGAGGGUUCAACUCUAAGAAAUAGUACUCGCCAGUGUCCAUACUGUACAAAUACUCAACAGUUGCUGCUCCAACAUAAUUAACACAUUUAGCCAACCUUCGAGCUGACUGCUCCAACUUUUUAAUUGUCUCUGGUGGAGCUACAGUUAUUGGACCCUCCUCAAUAAUCUAUAGAAAACAAAACAAGAAAAGUUAUUCUUCAUGAGAAACAACUGCAAUAGCCAAUACAGUUCACAAAUAAAACAGAAUAUAAAAAAUAAAAAUAAAAACUUUAGAAUUAAAAGAAGAAGAGUACCCAAAGUCAAAUUAGUGACUAUUGAAACAUCAAAUCAAGUUUACUAGUCACAGCAAGAUUACCUUCUGGUGCCGCCUUUGAACACUGCAAUCACGACUGUGCAAAGCUGCAACAUUUCCAUGCUGAUCACAUAGUAACUGGACUUCUAAAUGUCGGCUCUGAUAGACAAUAAAUCAUUUGUUAAAUUGGCGAUAUAUGAACUGAGUCCAGCAAUUAUGCUCGUCUAUAUUAAAAUCAAUAGAGGUUCUAACCUGGGACGCGACUUUCAUUAUGAAUAUGGGAGAUCCAGGAACUUCACCCUGGACUUGCUUGAACAAUGCCCUAACUUCAUCAUCAUUAUGGACCUAGAGGUCAAACAUUUAAUUUCAGCCAAUUAUUCAAAAAGGGAGGACAAAGAUUCAAUCAAAUUCCUUAACAAGUUGGAUAAGCUAAUGAAACUCAUUUCAGGCUUAGUGAACGCGUUACUGCAUAUAAUAUCGUUUUUCUUUUUCUAUCCUUUUUCUUUUUUUUGGAUUUGGAGAAAACUUUUACCUAUAUAAGAUUCAAAGCUAGAUUACAACUUUAGUCAAGUAAAUAAUAUAAGUUCAAAAGAGAAGGGCAACACUGUCAUGCAUGAAGCAUACCUUUCUUAUGCCUUUACCACCACCACCCCAUGAUGCCUUAAUCAUGGCCGGGUAACCAACAACCUGACAACUUGCAAUUGCUUCCUCUGUUGUGUAAACGCAUGCUUCCCUAUAUAUUUCAUCUGGGAUUGUAACCAGGCAGCUCUCUGAAGGAAUUUUCACCUGGAAAUCAGAUAUUAAUGAUAUUAUAUGUGCGACAUAACUGCAAGAGAAACCAAAGGAAAAACAGGGCACAAAUUUCGGUGAAGAAAUUAUACAUGUGAUCCGCUCCAUGGAAGGGUAGGUACUUCAGCAGAUUGAGCAAUUAAUGAUGAACCGAUUUUAUCUCCUAAUGCUGCCAUAGAGACAGCUGGUGGCCCAAGAAAUAUUAUGCCCUUAGCAGUCAAUGCAUCUGGAAGCUCAGGGAUCUCAGAUGCAUGGCCCCAACCAGGCCACACUGCAUCAACAUGUGUUAUCUCUGCCAUCUGGGUAGUAAAGAACAAUGAAAUCAUUUGAAUCAAUAAUAAAUUUUACUAAACUGAUGAAAUGUUCAGAGCUACACAAGUAAUACAGCAUCUCGUGUUUUGUUUAACUUAUCAUGCUAUUUUAUAUUCCAUUGAGGUGGUAUGCAAUGAAGCUACUUUGGUAACAAGAAAUGCUCUCAGUUUGAGACAUUCAAUUGAUAACACACCCAAUGCAUUGGGAUAUAUAGAGUGUUUGAUGACAUUGUAAAAAUAAGCAUGGUUUACUGAAUUAGCUCAAUUUGCUUCACAUUUGGUAGCCAAUGAAACAAAGAGCCAGAAAAUCUGUUCAGGAUUGCAACCAUGUUAGUGAGGAAGUAUCUGCUGUAGAGGUCACAUACUUUGCCCAAGUGAACCACUCAUUUUUCGGAGUGACAGAUACAUCAAGAGAUAUAGUUCACAAGUAUACGAAUUCUGGAUGGCCCAUCAAUAGCCUCAUCAAUUGAAACUUCUAAUACAUUUUUAUAUUAAAUUCUUUAUUAAAUCCACUAACAAACAAAAAAAAUGUAAGAUCAAACCACUCAAACAUCUUUUAGCUAGAAGGGUCCUGGAUUUAUUGAGAUUUCUGCUUUCUGGUCAUACUUUCAUAGUAAUAAAAGAAAAAAUAUAUGUGGAAACACAUGAAAACAAAUGAGAGUCAAGAGCUUAGUACACACCUCUACAAUGAGCUGCACAUUGGCAUAGUUAUUAUUGUUAGUUCCACCAGGAACUUCCACAAACUGAUCAGCAAUUCUAAUGUGUUCUGCAUUGAUUCUCAUGUCUUCUGGUGUGGCCAUGGCCACCAACAAAACAGCCUUUUCUGUGCCAAAUGUUUCAUAAGCCCAUGUCCUCACACUACGUAUAAACUUGACUGCUGCCAUUCCAUUGUUUGCUAUUAAAAUGCUAUGGAUUGGCUUCUUCCCACCAAGGGCAUAGCAGAACUCCUCAACUGCAGGUGCCGCAGCAGGGGACCUGAUUGAUAGUCCCCCAUUUACGUACCCAUUAGUACGAGGAAUACUAACAGUUGAAAUCAAUCUCCUUUGAGCUUCUGACAUCCUGCAGGGAAAUAAAUCAUGUUAUCAACUUGGCCAAGCUAAUUUCAAGGAACAAAAUUAGAUAAAGAUUAUACACUUCAGUAACCAAAUAAGCUGUCUAGAAAAUAUUGAUAGAUUAAAGUUUCUGUAAUUGUGAAUUGAACAUGUCCUAACUUCCCCCCUUCUUUUCUGUUUUCCAUCAUUCAUAAAGCAAUCGACUCUACGAUCCUAUUUGCAAGAUAGCAGCGAAUGUAAACAUCAACCUGGUUAUACUUGGGCGGCCUUUCGAUACUUGCAUCUAAUUCUAUGCCAAUUAUGAACUCUAAUCUCAGCUGUAAUGCUUCACUAACCCAAGCUUAGGCACUUCAAACACAUCCUAAAGGUAUAGUCUUUGGGUGCAGUGUGGCAUAAACAUCGACUUCAAUCAAAAUAAGGCACUACCAAAAAGGAAAGAAACAAGGUGCAACUUUGUUCAACCACAAACUCCACAAAGGUGCAGACUUUGUUCCCAAAUUCACACCAAACACAACAAAGUCACAGUAUUUUGGAGUUCCCAAUACAAAUUCCAAUCCCAACUAUAACUGAACUACUUCCCAACUACUUGCACCCAUUAAAAAAAAAAAGACAGCAAUUUCAGAAAAAAGCAAAUUGCUUUAAAGGGUUAGAGGAAAUGGGUGACAGACCUUGAUGAAGAAAAUGAAGCAGGAGCAGCAACCCUGAUCGAAACUGCUUCAAAUUGGUAUCUGGGUAGCAAGCAUUACAAUGAAUCAAGAGAACCCAGAAUGCGUAUGUGAGAAUGUGAAAGGAAUGGUGAUCAUAGAGAGAGAGAGUGAGAUAUACAGAGAGAAAGAAUUCUAGACCCAAAUUUGAGUUUUUAAAUGAAUUGAAGAGAGGUAGGUGCGGGUUUGGGUUUGUAUUGCUAAGUUUUUAACGGCUUUAAUAGGAGUUGCACGUGGUAUCUGCCUCUGCCACACCAUCUUCCUUUGUUAGUAGUAACUCCCCAGCUACCCCCGCCCCUUCGGUCUCUCUCUUUCUCUGUUUCUCUCUCUAAAACAAUUCAAAGAUGAUGGAUGUGGGUCUCUCGUGUUCUUACUCCUCAAAUGAAUUUCCCUCGAGUUUUUGUGUUUUAAAUCCCCAAUUUGGGUCAUCAUGGUUCAUGAAUUUGGCACUUGCCGUGUGCCUUGAGCCCUUGACUGUGUGUUGGAUGGUGAGGUUAACCAACCAAACCUUCCCUCCCCCUUGUUCUGUCUUAUAUGAGUUCUAUGGGAUAAUGAUAUUGUUUAACUGUUAUGUAUGUAUACAUACUCAUACAUUAUAUUGCAAAGUUUUGUUAUUUGACAACAAAUCGGUGGCUUUUUGUUUGUUCAUUUUUCAAAAUUGAACUCGCACUAAAAGUAUGAUUUGUUUUGUACUAUUCUGUUAUGAUUUUGAUAUCACUCUAAUUUUAAUGAAUUGAUUUUCGUAACUGAAACAUGAUAUUAUAUCUUAAAAAAACAUUACAUACUCGAUGCAGUUUAUGAAUAAGCCACAAAUCAAGAAUAAAAAUAAAAGAUUGACACACAAGGGCACUCUUAAUGAUCUAACCUAAACCAAUUAAAUGUGACCGGCCGUUUCAAAAGAAACCACACACAACAUGUUGGACUGCUAACGAGUAUUCAGAUAUGUAGUAAUUGUUGAAGUAGUCUUGGGUUCAUAUGUUGCGAUGGAUGAAGUGGUCUAAACUCUUAUGUCACAUGUUGGUGGGAAGAUGGACGUGGCACUAGUUUGACCGGGUGAUCACAGCUGGGAGUUGGGUUGAUUAGGGCGGUUGUUGUUGGGCCCAAUCUUGGAAGGAUGGCUGAGCCGAACAAGACCACGAUUCCUAUUAGGUUGAGGGUGAUCAUGCUGCAUGCCCUUCUAGGUUAGUCCCCUCUGUGAAGGGCAGGGCCGGUCCAAUGUUUUGAAGGACCCGGUGCGAGAAAAAAUUGGGGCCCUUUGUGUUGAGAAAAAAAAACUUGAAAGAACACUGAUUCCAUUUUGAAGCCCCAGCCUCAAUUGCUUUCAAACCUCCAAGCUCCCUUCCUUUGCUUCUAAAUUUACGAACCAAUACAAGGAACAAGUUGUUAAAUUUAUUGUGUGUAUAUUUAAUUUAUGUAUAAAAUUAUAGGAAAUCAAAAGAAUACCUUUAGGGAAUAGAACAAGAGAGUUUGAGUGUAUAAACAAAGCCAAUUAAGAGAUAGGAGUUGGGAAAUUGAAGAUGAAGAUAGGAAGUAUGAGUACCAGGAGGAAACAGAGAGUAGAGAGACGGAGGAACAAUGAUCAAACCGAGGUGAUCAAUAAUUGAAUAAGGUUUUUUUAUUUUAGCAGGGGGCCUCGCUCGAACUACUGACCUGCUUGCCACAUCAAACAAAAACACUCCUUAAACCAACUCAACCAGACACCCAGUUUGUUAACAAAGAUAAAUUAUUAUAUAUAUAUAUAUAAACUUCCACUGGACAAAAAAAAAGAGGCCCCUUGCCGGCCGGGGGCCCUGUGCGGCGGCGCCGCCUUGACCACCCCAGGGCCGGCUCUGGUGAAGGGUACGGUAAUCCUAGAAGCAUUAUGAAUGUAUUGCAGUAUUGGAGAGGGGAGCUUCACAGGCUUGAAUCCUUACUUGCUAGCGUCUUAAUUUCUACGGUUACUUGUUAUGAUUGCAUCGAAGGCAAUUUAAUGUAGGUGAUACUUACUAUGUAUGCUUUGCAAUGAUAGACAUUUAAACUUUAGAAAGUAUAAAGUAGCUAGAUUGAAUAUAUGAACCAGUCUUCGAAUGAUGAUCGACAGAUAAGCGAUGUAGCUAGGUGGACUUUUAUGAGAAUAAUGUUGACAUUGAAUGAUGGUGUUAGCGGAUUAUGGUUGGGGGUUAGGUCCAUCCAUGCAUGCAUACUUACUCUUUAUAUAUCUAUCUUUCUUUCCCUCGUAUGUAUAUAUCAAAUGGAAAUUAUGAAGUCAUGGAAGACUCGCUAUCAAUUUACAAUCAUGGCAUAGACAGGAUGAUGUAAAGGGACUAGAAUAUAUAUUCAAGAACUUUUACGAUUAGUUAUGUCAAUUCGUUGUUUAACUUUAACAAGGGAAGCAAUAGCCUGAGCUACAAGUUGGUCUAGAUAGUUUCUCUACUUUUGAAUUACAUAGCUAGGGAAUAUGGUUCUCUACAUCCAUUUGUAUUAGGCAGGGCUAGCUAGAUGCCCAUUGUUCGCAAUUUAUAAUGUUAAGCUCAAUAAUAUCUAAUAGAAAAAUCAUUUAAAAAAAAAAUUACAUUAAGAAGCCUCUGGGACAACCAAUGUUUACAAUAUCAAAUAACAACGCUCUCGAAGUCUCAUGAAGAACCCUAUCAUUCCAAUACAAAGGUGAAUUACAAUAAUGCCUAAGAUUAGCUAUGACAUCUGCAACAUUCGCAACAGAGUCAGUUUCCUUGCAAACAUGCCUAAAAGUAAUAGGAUAAACUAGUAGUUAAGGUUCUGAUGUCUUGUACUAGUUUGAUUAAUCAACAAAGUGGCUCAAAAUGGCCAUUCACUCACUGCAUCUAUCUUUCUAUCACAAGCUUUGAAUCACUUUCAACUUCAACUCAGUGAGGCCCUUCUCAUUAGCUUUAAUAGAAAAAUCAUUGUGUUUACUAGAAUGUUUCAUACAAACUUCCCUAUCACCCAUAAUCUACAAAAGAAGGUUUCAUCCCCAUUGAAUUAGUAUGAAUUAGUAUAUUACCAGCCUAUCAACCAUAAGACCGUAGGAUUAAAGAACCGUACCUAAAUUAUAUAACUAGCUUGUGUGGCUGGAAACAAUGUCCCGUAUAUUGUCCAUGUUGUAUAUACAGCUUUCAUUUUCUGGGAAAUAACCUCACUUUGAAGCCUUAAUGUUUUUCUAUGCUUGCUGCCUACCUACUUGUGCAGUUAGGCUUCAACCUAGCUAGCUAACUACCCCCUCCAUUUCCAAUACCUACUCCAAAAACUUCAUCUUCUUUUUUUGGGGGUGAGACAAGUCCCUAUCGGAUCACUUAAACUUCUGUUCUUUUUCUUUCAUCAUCAAGUUGUUGCUGCUCUGUUCAAGACCCAUGCCAAGCCGGCUGGUGAUCUUGAUAGAAGAAAUUUGCUACCACAGAGGCAUGCACGGAUAGACUAAUUGCAGAACUCUUCUUCACGUACCUAUCGGUAGUGAAUUGAAGGAGGAGAAGGCUAGCUAGGUGCUUCUCCAGAAACUGCAACAAUUACUGAUCCUCAGGUUAUUCCUUAGGAGAAGUCAUCUCCGCCGGAAGUUCAAGCAUAGUGGAGAAGACAUACCCUGCGAAUUAGUAUAUGUAGAUGGGCUAGAUUAUGCAGCUGUGUAUGUUGAAACUUUUUCUUUUUGGGUUUGAAGUAUGUUGAAACUUGAGUCUUUUUUUUUUCUUUUAUCAAAUGGGUUGUCAUUUAUACGGAAGAAGUUACAAAUGGUAUGAAGAAUACAAUCGAAGCCAUUAAUGGACCACUUAAUGAAACAUUAGACUAAAAGGCAUGAUCCUAACGUCCUAACGUAGCUAUAUCUCCUCUACGUCAUAGGACUAGAAAAACGAUCAUCAAGAUUAGUGGCAGAUCCAGGAUAAAAUUGUCAUCCGAGCUAAUUGCAACGCAAAAAAAAUUUCACCGAAUCUUAACUGUACGAGAAACUUUUACAAAAACUAAUCAUAUCUUACGAAACGAGACAAAGCUAGAAAUGAUUGGCGACAUGCUUGGUUCUUCAGAUUUCUAUGGUGGAAUGGUGAAUGUUUUGGUGCUGCAAGAAGAUACAAACUUUAGAAGAAACUCCUCGAAGUGACUUCUUGAAAAAUUUAGAACUUAAGUAGCUACUUGGGGUAUCAAAUGUAUGGUUCACGUUGGUGCAAAUCCAAUCACCUCAACCAAAGCUCUUAUUUUCUAUUGAGUAAUAGUCUGAAAAGUCUUCUUAACUGCCAUGGUUUCCACCCCUCAACCAAAGCUCUUAUUUUCUAUUGAGUAAUAGUCUGAGUAAGUCUUCUUAACCGCCGUAGUUUCCACCCCUAAUAACAGUUUUGCGCACAAAGAAGAGAGACCGAUCAAGGAAACAAACACAGAUCGACUAGAUAACUUCAUGUCUGUCAAGCAUACUUGUUGUGCAUAUUGUAGUGAGAUAGACGUGAGGUAGGAGUUAGUUUUGAACUUUUGAUUAUGAUGUGAGAGUGCUAAUGGUUGUCGUAGUAUAUGAAGUUUGCUCACUAAUCAAAGGAGAGUGCUUAGGUAAAACACAUUGAGCUAUAUAUGAAGUCAGGUAGCUCACCAGCCAUACAUGAAGUAGUAUUUUUUUUUUUCCUUCAAAGAAUCUCACCUAGGCUUAAGCCCAUGUGAGCCAAUGGCUGGAUCCGCCACUGAUCAAGAUCAUAAGACUCAACCGACAGAUUGCCAAUGAAGUUGGUAAAGAAACGUCGGUAUUCUAACAAGACAGUGUCUUUUAUCGCUUGAAGGAUUAUGAACUUGAGUCGAAACUUGAGUCAUUGUUGAUGGAAAGUAAACAAUUAUAAGUUGAUGAUCCAUAUCACGUUUUCCAGCUUUGGGCAUUGGGGACCGUGGAUUGAGAUGAUCCAAUUUCCUCAUGAAAGCUUUACUUUUGAGGGUGACGUUGUUGAUGGUUUUGUUUGGUCACACAUUGUGUUGAUAACCUUUCGGUCCAACACGUCCUAACCUUUUGGUAAUAAUCAAUUUUUAUUUAGAUAAAUUUUAUAAAUUAAAAUAAAGAAAAAGAAAAGAAAAGAAAAAAUAUUUAUUUUUAUGACUAAUCUCAACCGUUAGUUGUUAUUAGAUCUAAUGGUUGAUAUUCUUGUUAUAAUUUUGAUUAUAAUCUUGUAUGUCACGGAUCCGCCCCAUAUCCGCUAAAAGGACAAAAUUAGAUAGGUAAAAUAUUGUAUAGUUCUUUUGGUUUGAAGUUAACAUUUGUUUAGUCCUUAUAAUUUUAUUUUAAUCUGAAUAGUCAUUAAAGUCACGAUUUUUCAUCUAAAUAGUCCUUAUGGUUUUAUUUUAAUCUGAAUAGUCCUUAAAGUUAUGAAUUUUCAUCCAAAUAGUCUUUAUGGCCUUUAACUGAGAAAAUUGUCAGAAGAAUUAUUUGGAUGAAAAAUCAUAACUUUAAUGACUAUUCAGAUUAAAAUAAAACCAUAAAGAUUAUUUGGAUGAAAAAUUAUGACUUUAAGGACUAUUCAGAUUAAAUAAACCACAAAACUAAACAGAUGUCGNNNNNNNNNNNNNNNNNNNNNNNNNNNNNNNNNNNNNNNNNNNNNNNNNNNNNNNNNNNNNNNNNNNNNNNNNNNNNNNNNNNNNNNNNNNNNNNNNNNNNNNNNNNNNNNNNNNNNNNNNNNNNNNNNNNNNNNNNNNNNNNNNNNNNNNNNNNNNNNNNNNNNNNNNNNNNNNNNNNNNNNNNNNNNNNNNNNNNNNNNNNNNNNNNNNNNNNNNNNNNNNNNNNNNNNNNNNNNNNNNNNNNNNNNNNNNNNNNNNNNNNNNNNNNNNNNNNNNNNNNNNNNNNNNNNNNNNNNNNNNNNNNNNNNNNNNNNNNNNNNNNNNNNNNNNNNNNNNNNNNNNNNNNNNNNNNNNNNNNNNNNNNNNNNNNNNNNNNNNNNNNNNNNNNNNNNNNNNNNNNNNNNNNNNNNNNNNNNNNNNNNNNNNNNNNNNNNNNNNNNNNNNNNNNNNNNNNNNNNNNNNNNNNNNNNNNNNNNNNNNNNNNNNNNNNNNNNNNNNNNNNNNNNNNNNNNNNNNNNNNNNNNNNNNNNNNNNNNNNNNNNNNNNNNNNNNNNNNNNNNNNNNNNNNNNNNNNNNNNNNNNNNNNNNNNNNNNNNNNNNNNNNNNNNNNNNNNNNNNNNNNNNNNNNNNNNNNNNNNNNNNNNNNNNNNNNNNNNNNNNNNNNNNNNNNNNNNNNNNNNNNNNNNNNNNNNNNNNNNNNNNNCUUUCGCUCCUCCGCCAACUGAUGCCAUUUGAAGUAACUUUCCAAGCUGUGUAGCCAAUCAAGGAAUACCUCAGGAUUGUUGUCACCAUUGAAAUCAACAAUAUCUAAUUUUAUGCCCCCUUUUUUGAAGCAGACUGUCUUGACUCUCCACGCCUAGAGUCUGAUCCUGAAAAUGAAUCCUGACCACUGUCUUUUGAAUUCUCCUUAACCAAGGCAGACAUAUACUGAAAACCAUGUUCUAAAGAAGUCAGUUUUUCAAGCACCUCCUGGAACAUCUUUUUUUGGCAUUCAGAUUCUUGAGACAAACUGUCCACUUUGGAUGAGAGCUCUGCGUUAGUAACCAUUGUAGUGCUCAGGGUAAGGUGAAGGUAAAAAAAUAGGAUGUUUUGGCUCUGGUACCAAAUCUGAUGCAGGGAGCAGUAAGAGAUAGUGUGAUGCCAUUUGUCUACCAAAUGGUGGCUCAUCAGAUUUGGUAUCAGAGCCACUCUGCCGUGUGGUGCGAGUGUGCCGACGAGGGCGUCUGACUCCCAAGGGGGGUGGAUUGUAAUAUCCCACAUCGGCCAAACGGAGAGGGGUUAUGUGCUGUAUAUGUACAUGCCCACCUCCAAUCUAACACGAGGCCUUUUGGUGGCUCAGCGGCUUCGGAGGGGAUGGGUACUCCGAGGUUAAGCAUGUUGAUGCUAGAGCAAUCCCCAAGAUGGGUGACCUACUGGGAAGCUGCUCCUGAGCUGCCGGAAACAAAACCGUGAGGGCUGGUGGGCCCAAAGCGGACAAUAUCGUGUUACGGCGGAAUGGGUCCUGGGAUGUGACAAAUUUGGCUCCCAGAAGGAUUUGGUAUUCCAUUUGGCUCUGAAGUGACAAAUUUGGCUCUUGGCCAUCCUAACCUGGGAUUUGGAGUACCCAUCCCCUCCGAAGAUUGGCGUAGGAGUAACAUUUUCCAAACCCGUGUUCGAUGCAGUAAUCAGUUGUGCACCCUAGUCAUAGAUGGAGGGAGCUGCUCUAAUAUCAUCUCUGAAGAAGCUGUUCGCAAACUUGGGUUGUCUACCGAACCACAUCCAAAUCCUCAUAAGGUGGCAUGGGUAAACAACACAAAUCUCAAGGUCAAUGAUCGUUGUUUGGUGACCUAUUCUAUUGGGAAGUUGGUUGACACGGUAACCUGUGAUGUGCUGCCCAUGAAAGUGUGUCAUAUUCUUUUGGGCCGACCAUGGCUAUAUGAUAAGAAGGUGCAGCAUUGUGGCUACAACAACACAUAUUCCUUCCAAGAUGGAAGUCACGAGUUCAAGCUCGUACCAUCUAAAGAUUUGCCCACCAUAAAGCUCAAAAAGACAGCUGGCACGUUCCUCCUUAAGCAGACCGAAAGUGAUGACUCUAUACUUGGUCCAGUUCCAAACUCAACCAAGUUGAGUUCUUUUCAGAGGGGGAGAAUUAAUGGAGCAGCCAUAAGCUGGCUGGAACAGAAAUAUCCUCUUUGGAAGCCAAAGACUAAGCCCAACCAUUUUUGGUCCAAAGGAAAGUCUACUUGGUAGUUAAGGGUAUUAACAGGUUUAUUUUCAGUUACAAAAUUUACUUUCAGUUACAAAAUUUACUUUCAGUUAUGAAAAUAAUAAUUAUGAGUCUAGUGUUUUAAAGAGUCUUGAGUGUGUCUUUAUGUCUCUUCAAGUCUUAAGUAUUUAAGAGUCUUAUUAUUAAUCAGUUAUAUUAGUCUUAUGGUAUUCUGGGAGUCUAAGGGUUUUACGUGAAGCCUAUAAAUAUGGCUUUCUAAUGUAAUCCGGGGGCAGAUUGGAAUGAAUUAAGAGUUUAUCUUUUGAAGGCUUGGCCUUGUAUCCUCUCCCCUAACCUCCCUUAUUCUAUUUCUCCCUUCUUCAACUAAGAAACUCCUGUUUCUCUUAAAAUCCUUCUGUUUCCUAUAAUCUCUCAACAGUCUCCAUCCCACCCUAUUCACUCUCACACUAUCUCUUGCUGCUCCCUGCAUCACUAGUUCAUAUUCAUUUAUUUUUUUUUUUGAGAAUGUCUAGUUCAUAUAUUUUUUUAAAUUUUUUAUUAAAUAACUCACACACCCUACAUAUGUCAAUGAGGUUUGAACCAUGACGUCAAAGUUGUUAGCUAACCACUUUAACCAACCACCUUAACCACCUUAAUCAUGAUCGUCUAGUUCAUAUUCAGUAUAGGGAAAUUUUAUUAAGAAAAAAAUUCAUUUUACCCCCUAAAUCUUUGGUGCCAAAAUCAGUUUAGUCCUGCAACUUUUUUUUUAAAUCAGUUAGCCCCUUCAAUUUUCGUAAACACAUCAGUUGGUCUAAUUUUUGAAUUCUCCUCAAAAUGUGAUGUCAACGAAGCUGUUGGAACUGACAAAGGGACCCAUAAUUCAGCUUUAUUCCCUCAUUUUCAACGAAAUUUCUGAAAUACCCUCAUUGUUUUUUUUAUUCAUUUUGCCAAAUAGAUUCAUUUUUUUUAUCUUCUUUAAUAAUAUUUUGUCAAAUUGGCUAUUUUACCUUUCUGAUAAAGAAAUUUUUCAUUGCUCCCGAAAGACCACAUGACAAUCUGACGUGAUCCUCAAUUCCAUUUAAAUUUUGACAUGUGGAUUUUCAUGACGAAAAACAAUUUUAGCGAUUUUGUCAAAUAUCAUUUUGGGUUUCAUGUUGAUUUUUUAAAUCCUAAUCCCUAAACCUUAAACCCUAUACGCUAUACCUAUACCCUAAUUAUAUAUCCUAUACCCUAACCCCUAAACCUUAUACCCUAAACCCUAGGCCAAACUCAUAAAAAACCUAAGACGGUCAUUUCACAAAAUAUAGAAAACCUUAGUUUAUAUUUUAGUUGUAAUAAAUCCAUGUGUUAAAAUUUAAUUGGCAAGGGAGGAGCACGUCAGACUGCCACGUGGUCUUUCGGGAGCAUUUAAAAUUUUCUCCUUCUGAAGAGGGAUAAAGCUGAAUUAUGGGUCCCCUUGUCAGUUCCAAUAGCUUUGGUGACGUCAUAUUUCAAGGGGAAUUCAAAAAUUAGACCCGAUUGAUGUGUUUACAAAAGUUAAAGGGGUGAACUGAUUUUAAAAAAAGUUACAGGACUAAACUGAUUUUGACACCAAAGAUUUAAGGGGUAAACUGAAUUUAAUCUUUUUAUUAACAUAUGUGGAUAUGCCUAAAUGCUAGAUACACAUCUAUUUCUUUGUACAAAUUAUAUAAGACUUUGUGAGUCUGUAAAAUUACUAAAAUAGACAUUUAUAUCAAAAAUAAAGAAAAUAUCUCGCUUAAGACAUUCAUAUUAAUUAUUGUACUUCUAACAUUUUUUAAUUUUUAACUUGAAUCGAGUACCAAUAUUUUGACAUCACAUAUGAAUACUAUGCAAUGGUUCCCAAAAUCGAUUAAUUUAGUUCUACACAAGAUUGAGCAUUCCAAUGCGCUAAGAGUUCUGUUAAGAACUUUAGUGAUGUAUUGUCUUGUUUUGUUUUGAUUCGUUAGACUCAAGAAUUCCUGAAAUCAGUUUGAGUAAAAUUAAGGCUCUUUAAGAAUAAAUUUUGUCGAGGAAAACUGAUGGAAGAUGAUGUUAACAAAAGAAAAUCCCUUGAGGAAGAUCUUAACAAGGUGAAACCCUUUAAAAACCUUCGAGGAAGAUGUCAAUGAGGUGAAACAGUACGAGGAAAGAUAAAACAUUUUGAGAAAAAUCUCACUAACGUGUACCUUUUUUUUUUUUUGAAUAAAUUGAGUAGCGGAUCUUGAAAAGUAUGUGUAUUUACUAUUUAGUGAAUAAGUUAUGUACUCAAAUAAGGGUAUUAUAAGAAGUUUGAGUAUGUGUAUCUAGUAAAAUGUUAAAACAAUAAAAUUAAUAGGUGGUGUAUUAAGUACGAGAUAUGUAUCUAGUAAUUAGAGAUGUGUUAAUAAAAUUGAUUUCUCUCUCUUCAGUAUAACAAUAUCAACACAAAAAAAAUGCUCUCUCUCUCUCUCUNUCUCUCUCUCUNCUAUNUCUACNNUANCUCNCGUACUACUUACGUAACUACUACGUACGUACGUAACUACUUACUCGUACUAACGUAACUACGUACUACGUCGUACGUACGUACGUACGUUACGUACGUACGUACGUUCUUACUACGUACGUACGUACGUACCGUUACCGUUACGUUACCGUACGUACUUAACGUACGUAACGUUACGUACGUAACGUACGUACGUACGUACGUACGUAACGUUACUUACGUUACGUUAACGUACUUACGUACGUACGUACGUACGUUACGUUAACGUUACGUUACGUUACGUUACGUACGUACCGUACUACGUACGUACGUAACGUACGUACGUACGUACUAACGUACUACUACGUAACGUACGUACGUUACGUUACGUUUACGUUACGUUACGUUAACGUACGUACGUACGUACGUACUACGUACGUACGUACGUACGUACGUACGUACGUACGUACGUACGUACGUACGUUACGUACGUACGUACGUACGUACGUACGUAGUACGUACGUACGUACGUACGUACGUACGUACGUACGUACGUACGUACGUACGUACGUACGUACGUACGUACGUACGUACGUACGUACGUACGUACGUACGUACGUACGUAACGUUACGUUAACGUUAACGUUAACGUUAACGUUAACGUUAACGUUAACGUUAACGUUAACGUUAACGUUUAACGUUUAACGUUUAACGUUUACGUUACGUUACGUUACGUUACGUUAUAUAUAGUAGUAGUAGUAGUAGUAGUAGUAGUAGUAGUAGUAGUAGUAGUAGUAGUAGUAGUAGUAGUAGUAGUAGUAGUAGUAUAUAUAGUAGUAGUACGUAGUAGUAGUAGUAGUAGUAGUAGUAUACUACUAUAUACUACUACUACUACUACUACUACUACUACUACUACUACUACUACUACUACUACUACUACUACUACUACUACUACUACUACUACUACUACUACUACUACUACUCUCUCUCUCUCUCUCUCUCUCUCUCUCUCUCUCUCUCUCUCUCUCUCUCUCUCUCUCUCUCUCUCUCUCUCUCUCUCGUCAAACCUAUGGGAGUGACGGCGGGCAUGCUUGAUGGUCCUCUCUAUAUACAUGUUUCGUCAGUUUUCCUACUGCUUCUGUUGGGGCGGUUGCUAGCGGCCCCGAUACAUGCUUGGUGAACUAGAUCUGGUUUCGUGUUGGAUGAUACACGAAGUUAAAGGCUUUGGUUUCUAGUGGUGAUAGAGAGAUUGAUGGUAGCUGGAAGGACGGUUGUUUCCUUCAAAUUGUUAUCAAGGGCAGUGGAAUUGAGGGUGAGGCAGCGAUGGGUGACCCUUGCGUGGUGGUUCAGGAUGGGGUUUAUGUGACGGUAUUGCGGGACGGUAACAUCAGCAUUUGGAUUGACGGUGAAUGGAAACCUGGAGAUUCUUUUCUUCUUCCUCACGUCGUCACUAUGGUUGAUGGCACAAUGCUGGGAGGGCUGGAUCACCUCCUUGGUUAGGCUGUUGAUGGUAGGUCUCACAAUGUUGGGGGGAUAGUAGUGGUUUCAGGGUGGGGUGCUAGCGGCGCUACACGGUGGUUGAUGGCUGCUAGGGUUUCCAUCAAGGCGACAUUGGCUAGGCUUUGCUGGGCUUGGGUAGUUUUUUUUUUAAUUUUAUUUCUUUUUUGGGUUCAUAUCAUUUUUCGUGAAAUGAUAUUGAGUCUUUUAUUAUCUUACUUUGAGCGAAAGAGUAAAGACUUGGUGGUCGUCCCUUAAUUGGGACUAAUAUUUUAUUAGCUGGGCUAUAUAAUUUUUUUGUUUUGGGCUUCAUACAAGAAAGUGGGUGUACUAGGAGAUUGCUAGUAUAGUUUGCUCUUUUUUUUGUGGAUUUGUAGUAGUUUCUACAGAACAGUUUCCUCACUGAGAGGGAUCGUUUUUGUACUGCUUGUUGAGCUAAUAAAUGAUGACCUCUUAUAAUCACAAAAAAAAAAGGUUCAUAUUCAGUAUGAUAAAAAAUAAGUAUGACGGUAGAAUGUCGUUUAAACUAGAAGCCAUAGAUAGGAAAUUGAUGAGACAAAAAGAACGAACAACAAUAAUAUAUAUCACAACCUUGUGCCUAGUAAGAGACUCAUAACAACAAUGCAGCACCGAGCAUAUUAAGAGCAGUAAGGGCAAGUUUAGCAGAUAUUGAAUACGCUCCCGAGCUUGGAGAUGGUGCUGGAGAUUGUAUAGGAGCUUUGACAACUGAGGGUGCAGGAACUAUAUUGAACUUCGGAUGUGAUUUUGGAGAUGGACUCCCCCAUUUUGGAGACAUUGCUGCAAUCAAAAAUUUGUUAUUAAGAUCAGCAGUAGUCGUCUCUAGCUUCCUCAAUAUCUAACAUGUUAAAUGGCUGAAAUUGUGAAUCAUAAACGCAGAUAUAAGGAUAAUGAUUCACAUUUUAAGAACAUAAUAUGACAGAGAUAUAUAAAACUCUAACUUGGUCAAUAACACAUAACCUCCAAUAGCCUCUUGUUGUGUUAAAUGAUCAUUCAAGGUUAUAAGAAUACAAUUUGUUAAUGAUUCGAAGUAAAAUUUGCAGAAAUUAGUUAGCAUAUAUAUUACCAGGAGCAGUACCAGGAGGCAUAGGAACUGCAAAACAAAAGUAAUAUAUCAGUCUAAAAGAACACUAUAUAAACUUGGCAUGCAAGUAUAGUCUUACCGGCAUAUAGUUCAUAUUCACAAUCCAACAACAACGUAACAUUUUCGUGGCAUUAAUUUGUUCCGCCAGUGAGAAAUGAUGAACAAAAUUACUAACCAUUACAAUUAUCUAGGGGAGGAGCAUUCUUGAUCCCACAAGCUGAAGAAAGAGUCAUGGCCUUUGUCAUAUUCAAACGGAUACCCAUGGCAGCAGUACCCUCAAAGGAUUGACAUACGCAAACAGGACCACUUUUGACAACAGUUUCAUAUCCAGAGCAGCAUGAACGUUCCGGCGAUGUGGUUUGAAUUCCUUCACUCAAAAAAGGGAUGCAAUCUGACAUUGCAUAAAUCGCCUUCGUGCAAUCUGGGCUUGAUGGUGAGGUUGAUGGUGCAGUUGAAGAUCUCAUUUCAUCUGUUUCUGGAUUUAAAGGCUGAACAUGAGGGCGUGCACAGUUUGCCAAAGCAGUCCAUGUGGCCAAAAUGAACAAAAGGAAAACGAUUCUUGUCAUCUUUUCGUUAAUUUUCUUGAUGAUACUUUUCACUUGGUGAAGAAAAUCAGCAAUGUUCUUUUGAGUUCUGAAUGGGGUGAGAAUUAAAGUUUUUUUCCAUUUGACAUUCCUAGAAUGGCUCAGGUAGUUUAGCAUUAAUGGAAGAUCAGUUAAUUAAGACCUAUUCCUAACCUUGGUUUAGGCAUAUCUAGCUCCUAGACACGGUCUCUAAUUUGUUUAGCAACUCUUGUUGAAGAUUAGAGUGACACCCGCACAUACAAACACAUAUAUGAUUAAUUCACAGAUUAAUUGAGCUUAAUUAUUAGAGCAUUUCUAAAUUAAGAAAACGAGUAUGCUCACAUUGUCAGCAAGUAACUGACCAAAAAAAUUUAUAUUACAUUAUUGUAUCCGCUUUCUGACAUCGAUGCUCUUUGAUGGGUUCAUCCGAGCCUCUCUCUCCAUCUUUAAACCCAAGUAGUGAGCUAUUUUGAAUAAGCCAUUAGUAGGUUUUCCACAUUCAAAGCACUUGUGGUUGUCUAAAUGAUGCUGGUCUGCACAGGGCCUGCAGAAGUAAUGCUUGCAUGAAGUUUCAACAGGUUCAAUAAAACGCCGUUUGCAGAUGGCACAAGUAGAGGGCAAUGAGCUAUUAUCAUAAGUCUGGCGCAUCCUCUCCUUACUCAAAGCAGCUAAUCUCUGGAUUGCUUCAUCUACUUUCUCUCACUCCCACCCCCGGCCUAUGUUCCAGUUCUGACAUUUUGUCCCAAGAAGAACUCGAAGACAGGUCGACAACCAGAGCAAGCCUAACAAGAUAGGGUCUCUAACUGCGUGCUGAUUCAGUACUGGUUUUAGGGUACUUAUUCCUUUUAUAUAUUAUGGCUGCGAGUGACAAACAAGAUUUGGUUAAGAAUAUUAACACAGUGGAGUCUAACAAAUGGAGUUACAAUCACAAAUACAUGCCCGGAUGUCAGAAUAAAGAGCAAGUCAAAGUAACAACCGUGAGCGUUUUUCAAAGUAGUGCAAAUUAAAACACACUUGAAAGUAACAGAGUAAGAUUACAAUUGAGUUGCUUCAAAUCAAAGGUUGGAUUUCUGGUGACUCGCACAGCAACCACAUGCAGUUACAUAAUGAAACACACAAUUCCUGGAGAUAAGGAAACUCUCGGGCGCCGACCUAAAACUCUAGAAUUGAGAAUGUUUGGAAAUCGUAGCCUCUACACAGAAAACAAUUUAUAUAUUAUAUGAAAACCUUAGAUUCUUUUGGGCGAAGAGGAUUGUGUUCGUUUCCAGUGAAAUUUCUGUAAUAGAAACAAAACCUUACAUUCAAAAUCGAGCCCUGAAUAAAAAUCAACACCGAUGGUCCUACAUCCAAACCUACCGUAACCAACUCGAGAUUCUUCAACAAUAAAAUUUGGGGGGGGAGGGAUAACAUCACUAGCUGAAUCAAAGCCGUGAGAAAGGAACUAAUUACACGACGACAGUAAACUGUUAGGAUAUCCUACUGGGCUUAGGAAAAGUCUAAGGGUGGGCUUUCAGCUGUUGGGUCUGCACAGUUCGUUAGUAGAAUAUGAUAUUAAUGUACCAUAUAUACAUCUUGCAACUCUAAAAACUUGAUGUAGUGAUGAUAUUAGUAUAUUUGACAAACGAUUGAUUCAAAAUGUGAUCAAAGGACAGCCAAAGGAUAUUAUGCGGACAAAUUUAUUCACUUUCAAUAUGUACGUCGUUAUAAAUGUAAUCAUCUAAUGAUAGAAUUAGGUUUUUUCUUUCUAGUUUAAGAUCUUGUACGAGGUGUAUUAUAUGUUCAUUUGUAAACAGAACUAGGUGGGACGGGAAUCUCUAUUAUCAUGCAAAGAUGAAUUGAAGCCAAACACGUACUUGUCCAUUAACAUAAAUGAACAUGAUGGACAAGCCCUUUUGUUUGUUGAAUCUCUCUCUACGAUGUGCUGGCUAAUCUGUACAACUUGUGGUUGGAUUUUACUCUGUGAAAGUGUGUAGUAUGCAUUAUGGGCACCCUCAGCAUAAAUUCCAGAAACUUUUGAGGAGUCGGGGUCCCCUAUCGAACUAUUGUUUGAGGUUUGAACCAUCAUUGUAGCCAAUAAUCGAUCGAUCUUCAACCACCCGGCCACUGUCCUCUCAAUUCGAUUGUAUUCACAAAUCCAAUAAUGUUUUGGGGACACAAGUAAAGUUUCAUGACCUAAAACUCCAUAGGAUUGACCGAUUGAGGCCGGAUUGUGUAAGUUACCUGCACAGAUAAAGCAACACCAAAUAUAUAUAUUCGAUCCUAAGAAUUUGAACUUGAACUGUCUUAGACGUCUCUGAGUUUACAGCUCUCUUUCACGGGUUGUCUUGUAAUCGUAGCAGCAAAAACGAUUCAUCAGUUUGGAGCUAAUGGAAGCUGCGGAGAUGUGCAGCCUGAGUUCUUCAUUCAAAACUGUGUCUGCAUUCCUCAAAUGGAACAUGUCUGUACGUUCUAUGAUUAUUACUUUCCUCAUGCAGAGUAAAACUAAUAGCUCGAUCGCGAACAUUUUAUUUGAUUCCGACAAAGAGGCUCCUUCACUCUUGUUAAACCCUAGACAGCAGUCGACACUUUAACAUGCUUAGGUUUUGGUAAUAUCGUAUAGGUCACAUCAUAUAAUUUCGUGCGCUCAACCCCAUUUGUCUCCUAAUUAAAAGCUGAUAAUUAUGAAAAGCAAGAGAAAUUAUUCAUCCCAAUUAACAAGAAAAUAAGUGGAGGAUAGUGUGAGAAAACUCUUCCAAAAACCACAAAUGUCCAUUGCCUCCACCAAGAGUUGCUGUACGUCUACAGAGUGGGCACACAAACAAUAAAGUAGGAAGGCGCCCUCCUCGAAACCAAAAAAAUGUAAAUGAAAACCAGUGGCUUGACGUCGACCUUCGACCAAACCCUGCAACUGGGUUUCUUAGAUGUCAAGCUAUUAAUGGCUCUGGCCUAACCCUAACAGGUCCUUUUCUCAUUCAUCUCCAAGAAAUAAUGAACAAUCAUUUUGGUGGGAAAUUUACGCUGUAUCUUCUUCCCAGCAAUCAUUGAAGCUCAGGAUAUAGAAAACCCUUCUUUGGUUUAACCUUUGUACCAAGAUUUUCUGUGGUUAAGAGAAUCCAUGUAACUCAGCUGAUAGGAUCAUAAUGCAAAAAAUAAAUCAAUUAACGAGCACCUGUGUCGCCUUUACAAACAAGCUCCAAUCCCAGCUGGUUGGACCCAUGUUUUUGGGGUCAUUCCAAAGUGAGGCCCUGAGAGGAACAUGAUUGUUAUGCUUUAUAUUGCUUGGUCUCCAACAAUGUUCUUUUAAUUUAUUUGGAUACAUCUCCGACUAAGUUCUGGUUCAGGACUUGAAAUACUUUGAAAAGACUUACGUUAGUAUUUAACCUAAAUCGUGUGCCUGCCUUUCUUUCAAUUGGAUUUAAUUUGAUGGAUCAUUCCUACCUUUCUUAGAUUGCUGAAUUGAGCAAACUGAAUUGCUAUAUAUAAAAUAAGGUCUAAGCCCUAUAUAUGUAUAGAAAUAUGUGGGAGUUGUCUAGUAAUAUGAUGGUGAUGAUUGGUUGGGAUCUUAAGACCUGUAGGCUAGGGUUCAUAAGAUUAAUUAAGACAUCUCACAUACAUACCUUUAUGGAUUUAUUACCACACUUAAUGUACGUGUAGCCAGUGAUUGGUGACUACAUUACAUUAAAGGGAAAUUUUAUGGUACCUACCCGUAUGUGAUACCUAUAUUUAUAAAUGUGAUAACAUAUUUGUAGUCAAAAUGGUAAUGCUGGGUCGUAUUGUUUGUAAUUUUGUUCUAAUAAUUGUAAUUACAAAAUGUACAACCAUUUUACAACUUUUUGAACAAAUUGUUCUCAUACUUGUAAUUUUGUUUAACUUCAUGUAAAUAAUGUAAAUAAAUUUGGUAAAUUUGUUCUCAACGUUGUAAUUUGAUUCAUAACAUUGUAAUUUUUGUUCAAGUACAUGUAAAAUAAAAGUAGGAUAUACAUCCCAGUACCAUAGCUUGUCUCUACAUUAAAAUUGAAAGGUUAGGAAAGUACACACUACCAGGACAAGCACUUUACCCGACGAAAAAAUUUCGUCGGCCUGUUAGCUUAAUUCAUCGGCUAAGAUCUUACCCGACGAGCAUUCGUCGGCUAUAGUUUCAUCAGGAAAGAGUCGUUGGCGAUGAAUUUAACCGAUGAAACUAGAAAACGUCGUCGGCUAUUGUCCCAGAAUUUAGCCGACGAAUAUCUUUAAUGUUUCGUCGACCAUAGUCUGAUACUUUUGCCGACGAAACAUUUAAGAUAUUCGUCGGCUAAAGUAUGUAAUAAAAAAUUAAAAAAAUAAUUAUAGCCGACGAAAUAUAGUCUGUUUCGUCGGCGUUAGAAUUGUUUAGUCGACGAAACAUGUCAUAAUUCGUCGGCUAAACCUUAUUAAAAAAAUUAAAAAUACUAUAGCCGACGAGUAUCUUACAUGUUUCGUCGGCUAUAAGUCCAUUCCAGUAAAAAAAAAAUACCUGAAAUUUCUAAAUUAUCAUUCCAAGCAAGCUGCAAAAUACACCAAAACAAUUUCAUACAUAUAACCAACAACAAGCACAUAAAACUAUAUAAUUGAUCAACUACACAAAAUCUAGAUUGUCUAAAUCAAUAUCCGAUUCUGGGGGCUGCUGCUAAGGAGUUUGUGGCGGCUGAGGUAGCGGUAGAGGCGUAGGCAUGGGCGGAGCUGGAAGUCCCUGAAGCUGGGCAGCUGUAAACUCUUGCAAGUACUGGAACAUCUACUGCUGCUGGGCCUACUGGGCGGCAUAUACCGCGGCAGUAUAAGCUCUCUGGUCGGUGAUCUGGGCGACAUGAGUGGUAGCCUGAGCAGCUUGCUGUUCCCGUAGUCUCUCAACUUCCGACUCUAGCUAAGUUGUCCUGCUGCUGGUCGAGGCUGCCUUUCGUUGAAAUCCUGGAGUGGUCUUCAGGACCCCCUCGCCCUUUUUUCCUAAACCCCGGCAGUAGAAGUUGUUUUCUCGUGGUGGGAGGGCUGUGCCCAUUAUCCUCGCUCCAACCCUCGGAUCUGAAGUGUCGAUCCGGGACAUGGCUUCGGACAUCUCUUCCUCUUGCGUGUCAGGCCAUGUCUCCUUCACUAUAGCACUCAUCACCUCGUCACUAGCCUCCCUCACCUUCGCCUAAUUGGAUAGGAAAAAAAUGAUUAAUUAACAUUUUGACAUAUAUAUAAGUAAAAUUAAAAAUUUAAAAACGUAAGAUGACUUACAAUAUCCUCCUAGGCGUCAAGAUAUGCCUUUUCGUACGUAUAGACGUACCGGUUGACUUCUGGAUGUUCCCUGGCCGCCUCGUCCAUGAAGAUAGCGAACGGUCUAGAACCGGCACGAUGGUUCCUUGUGUUGCGUUGCCGGUUCUAAGCGUUCGCCCGGGAAACGGUCUUCAAAGAAAAAAAUAAACUAUUAGUAAAAUAUUUAAAAACGGACGUACUUAAUGACAAAUUAACUAAUUAAUUUUUUUAAAUACAUGUUUACGAGGGUUGUUGAAUUCUGAUGUCAAAAACCAACGCCACUCGUACUCCCUGUACUGGAACUCAGCAGGGGUAUCAGAACGUGCGUUCUCGUGCGUAGUCCAGUGGGUCCACAACUCGUUCUUCCACUCCUUGUACCUACAGAUACAACAAAAAUAUUAGAAAUAUUAUUAAUAUCACAUACAAUUUUGUUUUUUCAUUAACUUCCCAACGUAACUUCCCCCAUGCACAACGUCCGCCCAGCUGUUCUUCAAGUGCUCGGGAACCUCAAACCACCCCUGCAUUUAACCGUUUAUUAGUUUAGUUUUUCGAGAAAUCAACAAUGUAAUACAUAAUAUUAUUGAGGCGUUUUGUAAACUCACCGACAUCGCGUUGUGGACCAUGUCUUUAACCUCAUGCGGGACCUCGCCCCAGUCUGACCACAACAUAGGGACUCUAUCUCUAAUGAGCGCUUCCACGCGGCCGGAGUACGUCCUCGACUUCCCGCCCGAUACUAUGUGGCCAUCCCCGUCAGUACCGAUGACGAUCCUCCUUGUGGUACUGACGGUCUUCUCGAAAGCCUUCCCUGUGACGAGGUCUCUCUUCUUCUUUGUCGGCUUCGCUCCGACGGUGCCUAUCACAUGAUAAACCAAAUUGAUUAUUAAAAUCAGAGACCCUUUAUUAUUAAUUAUAAGAAAACAAAUCAUUCAUCUUUCAUUACCUGAGGGCGAUGCGGCGGACGUGACGGAUUCCGUCUCUGUCGCCGAUGAUGAUACCCUCGCGGAAAUAAGAGGCGUAUCAAAAGGCACGAACUGGUACGCCGUUGAUGGAGCCACUGGCGGGGGCAGUGGAUAAAUCGACGUCCCUGAGCCAUCAACUCCAGGUAAGGCCGGUAUCAUCCGCGGAAGGAACAGAUGAGGCGGCGGCAUCUGUACCCCAUCUGACCCACCAUCCGAAGCAGUAGGACCCGAAGUGGGCGCCCAGUGUAUCUCAAGCAUACGGGGUGCAGACACCUCCGUCUGGGUCUGAGGCCACAGUUGCCUCGAGGAACUAGGGACGACCGGCUGCCUCGAUGAAGGGGACACCUCCGGCUGCCUCGAGGAAUGGGAAACGCUCGGCUGCCUCUGUGUCGUCUCCAGAAGGGUCGCACGUCUGGCUGUCAUGGGGCCUUAAAACGACGUUUGAGGGUUGCUAGAGGUUCCCUUAGACGAUUCAGACCUUUGGCCCUUCGAACCCUUCGUCGAUCUAAAAUUACCGCUCAUCCUGUUUAAAAUAUUAAUUUGAAUCAAGGCUGAGGAAGAAAAGUGAAUUAUUAUAUCUUUUUACUAAAAAGAUAUGUGGAGGUGCCCUGUAGGAGUUAAGGAGUAGAUUUGGGUAGAAUUUUUUUAUUAUAUUCCAAAGAUAACAAGAAAGAUAACAAUCAGCAGAACUCCAAACGUUUAUUACCUCAAUUUUUAAGCACCUAAAAAUCGAUUUACGACAUACCAAUGUCCCAAAUAACCAUGUACUUGCACACAGUUAAUCUCAUUCACAGCACCAAUCAACAAAAUCACUCACAAACAACUGCACAUUCCCUCAACAUUCUAAUGAACCUAAAAAAAGAGACGCUACUAUCCACCAUUCCGAAUUCCACAUCAACACAAAUGCUUAACAAUGUCGCUCUUUGUUUUGCUCUAAUCAUAUAUGUGAAUCACUAAACUAAUUUACUAACUGAUCUAGACUACAUGAAACUUAAUAACGACACACCACACGUAAAUCAUACACAAAAUCAAUAGGCAUCGAAAAUAUCCACAAUAUUUCAGCAACCAUAGAUUAAAACUUGCAUAAUCCAAACCACAAUGAAGUCACACAAACAACAACCAUAAAUAUAUUCAUCAUAAACCAAUCCACAAUAUCAAUACCGCAUAAAAACCCUAAAUUCCCAAAUUCGAAACCCUAGAAUGACAUAUCGAAAUCAAAAUCAGAGGAUUACACCACCUGGCGAGCGACGAGUAGGUGAGCAAGUAGAGCAGGUGGAGCCGGUGGAGCAAGCGAGCAUGAGAGGGAGAGGGCAACCAGGAGAGGGAGACCGGGAGAGGGAGAGGGCGACCGGGAGCGCGGUGAAAGCUCGCGGAGGCGGAGGUGGACCGGGCUUUAGGGUUUUUUCGUCGCUCUGUGGAGGCUGUCGAGCGCUGGGUUUUCUACGGUCCCGAUACCUUUAGCCGACAAAAUACUUACUUCGUUGGUUAACAUUUGAAAUUCGUCGGCUAAAAUUUGAAAUUCGUCGGCUAACCUUGAAUUUCGUCGGCUAAACCUAUGAAAUUCAUCAGCUUAAUCUUGAAAUUCGUCGGCUAACCCUUGAAAUUCGUCGGCUUACUUUUUAUACAUUCGGCACAUUGUGAUUGUGAUGAUCAAACUUGAGAAACGAAAAUCCGACCGUCAGAUCUGACCAUCAUGAUAAAAUACAUGUAUAGGAAAAAAUUCAACUUGAUCGGACAAGGUUAAGGGCUCGAUCCGGAAGGUUAAUCUGUUAAGUCAAACCCCUAAACUCACAGAACAGGUCAUUGGACCGUCUAAAUUACGUAUUUUGGCCGGAUUUUCAACUGAAAAUAGUUUCAAACCGAUGAGACGCAACAAGUCGUAUAAAAAUUUUACGGAAAAUAACCACCGAAGAUAAGGCUACCCAUAGGGAGAAAGAAUGGAAAAUUGCAUUGACCGCAACUAUCGUCACAUAGACUUUACCGGAAUACCGUGAUUUUUCAACCGUAGACGUAUUUCACCAUUCUAGUCAUAUCUUAUUUCACGACUUUUUUGCGUUUAAAGGAUCUACGUAUAGUUUGUUUUUAAAAUGGAACAUUUACUAAACACUUGGUAAACAAGUUAUACAACAUUAGUAGGCAUGUCGUGGUUGUGAUGAUCAAACUUGAGAAACGAAAAUCCCACCGUCAGAUCUGACCAUCAUGAUAAAAUACAUGUAUGGGAAAAAAUUCAACUUGAUCCGAUGAGGUUAAGGGCUCGAUCCGGACGGUCAAUCCCGUAAGUCAAACCCCUAAACACACGGAAAAGGUCAUUGGACCGUCUAAAUUACGUAUCUUGGCCGGAUCUUCAACUGAAAAUAGUUUCAAAUCGAUGAGACGCAACAAGUCGUAUAUUAGGAUAUUCGUCGGCUAAGGUUUAGGGUUUAGGGUUUAGAGUUUAGAGUUUAAGGUUUAGCCGACAAAAUAUUAUGGUAUUUAUCGGCUAACCUCAUCUUAGCCGACGAAUUAUGGUAUAUUUUGUCGGCUAAAGUAUAAAAAAUACAUUAAAAAAAUAGAAGGUUUAAUGUAAACCAUACUAACUUCAUGUUCAUAUAUCACCAAAAUUCAUAUAAAAUAACAGAAAUAUGAAUUCAACAUAUGUAAACUAUAAAGGUAAUACAUUCUUUUUUAUUACAAAUUAAUGUAAUUAUAAUUAAAACUAAGGCUCGUAAUCGGAAUCAUCCGAUGAGUCUUCUUUGGUGUCAGAAUUAAUUUCUGGUAAUCUAUGCAUUUCCUCAUCGCCAGAGUCUUCGUCUGUUUCUUGAUUUGGAUCAACAUUAAUAAGCCUUGGCUCUUCAUCACGAAUUCGCACCGAACGACCCGCUUUAAAAUUAUUAAGGCGAACGGUAGAGGAGUUUGGAAUACCUAUUGCGCUGGGCUCUUAAUACGCAACAUUUUCUUCCUCGUCUUCGGCCUCUUCAAGUGCAGCCGCCCGGUAAAUGUUACGAGGGUGUACAUGGUUGACUACUUUCCACGCGUCACCCUUAGCAAGGUCAUCAAGAUAAAACACUUAUUUUACCGAUGUGGUAAAAACGAACGGGUCAUCUUCGUAACAAUUUGUAGCAGUAUUCACCGAUAAUAUUCCGUACUGAUCGGUCUUUAUGCUCUGCGGCCUAGUAUCAAACUAUCUACACUUGAAGAGGUGCACUGUCAUGCCUUGCCCAUAAACGAGUUCCACCACUGAAUGGAGAACACCGUAAUAGUCAACUCUAUUCCGCCCUCCAUGCGCCAUCACCCCAGAAUUCUGUGUUCUCCGUCUGCUGUCUCUCUGUUCACAUAUAAAUUGCACGCCAUUCACCUUGCACAUCAGAUAAACUCUUGACAUUAUCGGCAUCAUCGCUAGAAGUCUUAGUUCGUGAGACCAAUUUGGGUGACCAUCAAAUUGAAUAUGGUUCAUCUGCAACCAAACAUUCAACUGUAAAUAUGGAUAGUUAUGCAAUAAACAUAAAUACGUACAGAAAUAUUGAAUUACAUACCCAGCCGCCAAAAUAGUUUGCGAACUCCCUGUUGUGGUACUCAAGAUCAUCUUGAAUGUCUGGACAAUAUAGAUGGAUGUCUUUCCAGUAUUCAACUUCUGGACAGUUAAUCAAUACCCACCAGUGGGUAAUGACUAGCUCAUGUGGUUGCAACUUGUAGGAGUCUGGCAAAACUCCAUAAACUUCAACAUCACUAGAGAGUAUGGAAAGGUUGAACCCGUCAGAUGAGAGCCCGAGCCUCACAUUUCGGAUCUCUGACGCAAAAUGAGGAAACUCCCUGUCUAUAUGCUUCCAAGCCUCCCCGUCAGCAGGGAGUAUAAGGGUAUCUUCAUCAUGCAAUUCCCUAUCAGCGUGCCAUCUCAUAGCUUCGGCCGUGUGUGAAGACAUGUACAACCGCUCCAGCCUAUCCCUCAACGGGAAAUACUGAAGUACCUUCACAGGUUUCCUAUUGCCUGCAGGAGUCAGCUUAUAGCUGUCAGUGUGACAUACCGGACAUGCGUCAAGGCCACCAAGGUCAUUCCCUUCUGGAUCUUUACCCUAGAAGAGAACGCAGUCAUAUCUGCAUGCAUGGAUCUUGAUGUAGGAAAGCCUAAGAUCUUUCAGGAUACAUCGGACCUUAUGAUGAGUGGUAGGAAGACGAUGACCGUGAGACAGUAUCGAAGCAGUGUACUGUAGAUAAUCAUCAACAGCCUUCACGGUCGAUUUGUCUCAACUUUAAUCUUCAUUAUGUCCAUCACAUUUUCAAGAACUGUCUUCUGAUAACCGGGGUACACAAGGGUCUGUUGGAAAGCAAGCAGUUUGUUGUACUUGUCAAUACCAGCAGUGUUGACAACUCUAGGGAAGGGCUGCAUCGGCUCAGGCAUAUACUGUCCUUGAGCGCCUACACCGCUCUCAUAAGAAAACAUGUCGUUGAUGAAGGCCGUUGUUGGAUCGUUGGAUGUACUGCCCGUCUCAGAAAAUUGCUCAUGAUCAUGCGGACCCCCUGAUGAUGUUUCACCGUGAUAUAACCAACAUGUGUACUUCUCCCAAAACCCGUUACUCUUCAGGUGCUGCCAUACUUUGUUAAUCGCAAAUCGAUGCAUAUGGCUGCGACACUGACAUUUCGUGCACGGGCAAUAGAAAAUUGUAUUCCCGUUAGCAUUAGCCAGCGCAUAUUCCAUAAAACUCAUAACUCAUUUACCAUAUCUUUUGUCCCAUUUUGGAAGCGAAAUCGAACUCUUAUCCAUAUCCAGAAAAUAUAACAAAAUAUAUAUGUAUAACUCUAGCUAAUUAUUAAUUAAAUUCCAUAUAUAAAAUUUCAAUUCAUUUAGUAUUCUACGUACUACAACUAAUUAAUAACAAAUUAAUUAACACAUAUAUAUACUUAAUAAUUACAUAACAAUAUUAUAUAUCAACAUCAUCAUCAACUCAUAUCAUCAACAACUUCAUACCGUCAACACAAUAUUAUAAAUUAAUUAACAUAUAUAUAUGUACUACUUAUUAACAACAACUUCAUAUAUAUUAUCAAAUCAUCAACCAAAUCGAUCAACUCAAUCACACCCAAAAUCGAUCAACUCAAAUAAAACUCAAAAUCAACAUAAAUACACAUGUAUGUACCUAUAUAUAGCUCCACAAACUAAUUAUGGACAGAUUUCGACAACACCCAAACUUUUUCUCCCAUUUUUUCUUCUCCCGUUUUUUUUUCCCAGAUGAGCUGCUGUCCAGAUCUGCAAAUAUAAGGCACUUUAGCCGACGAUAUUUUAAGUUCGUCAACUAAAUAAUUUUAAAGUCGUCGGCUAAAGUUCACAUACUAUAGCCGACGAAAAAAAUUCUUUAAGCCGGCGAAAAUUUAAUUUCGUCGGCUAUGGUCCACUUUAACCGACGAAAAAAUAGUUCGUCGGCCUGGUUUUUUUAUUUUCGUCAGCUAAAGCCUUUUUCCUGGUAGUGACAUAAAAUAUAAGAAAAUAUAAUGAUCGAUAAAUUUAUUAAAAUAAUUAUGAAGUUGUAUAACUUUUUCUUUCCGUUGUUAUAUGCAUGUGAUAUUGUGUUCACCAGAUCAGCCACCACACUGUUGGAUGUAGAUCUAAUACUGAGGAGAAUAAUAAUUAUGGGUUGUUUUGUUUCUCGCAGUUAGAUCGAUUUACAUUCAUUAACGGUUGAGUAUUAUUUUGUUAGUUAAUAACUGUUCGGGUGAAUAUAUUUUCAUGGACACCUAAUUGAUCAUGGAAGAAAUUAGGAAUCUUCUGAGUCAGUGACACCACACACCUGAUAUCUUUUUAAUCGAGAGCAACGAUUGAUCACAAACAUAAUACUUCAAGUGAACAUUGAAUAACUAAUUAUAUUAAAUUAUAAAUUAAUCCAGUGAUUCAGAAACAUGCCAACUUGAACAAAUUGCGCUCUAAACUAUUAUGCUUAUUAUACUAUAGAAUGUGGUAUGGUUUGAUGCAAGAAGUUGAGAACAAUGUAACGUACUAUCUCAAUGUAACGUACAGAUAGUACAUAACUAAUCUUGUUCCAAAAGUAUAUAUAUUCUGGACCUAUGGUCCAUAAGAAUACAACUUGACCAAUAAAGCGUGACUUUACCUUCUAGCUACUCCAUCGGCAAAGAGGAAGUCAGGAAGAUGCCACUCUAGUUUGGCAUUGGGUUUGAAAAGGGAAUCACUACUGGAAAAUAGCACUUAAACGACGGAAUUAAAAAAUUUCGUCUCUUUAGUGGUAUUUAAGCGACGAAAUUUUCUAUUUAAGAGACGAAACAGUUUCUGUCUCUUAAAUUGUUCUUAGGAGACGAAAUAUUUUGAUUUCGUCUCCUAAGAACGACUUGGGAGACGGAAUGCUUAAGUACUACUUAGAGACGGAAUAUUUUUACUUAGACAACGGCAUUUUAAAAAAAUAAAAAUUUAUAUGAAUCACUUAGGAGACGGAACUACAUUUCGUAACACCACCAUAAAGUUUUGCCCCUCAGCCCUGUCGACAGAGGUGACGAUGCACCACGAGCCUCCACCCCCCAAAAACAACAUCGGAGGUCAAAAGUUUUUGAAAGACAAGGUUGAGAACUCCAUCGAAGAAAGCAGACGGGUCUCACAGAGAAUAGGAUGAAAGAUGGAGACCGGAAUGAGAAGAGAGGUAUCCACCAGUCCGAGUCGCAAUCAAGAAAAUCUGGGGCUAGUCUCGUCGUUUCAUAGAGAACCUCUGAUCUCAUUUAAUUAAAACAUUCUAGCUAGACUACUUCUAACGCCUUCACCUUUGUAAUGAGAAACAUCUCCAUUUACCAUAUAAUAGUGAAUUACGGAUUAACGUUGUAUUUUGGAAGUCCUACUUGAGUAUGUUGUAUGUUAUAUUGAAUAUUUUUUUAAUGAGGACGCUGUCAAGCUCCAAUGACGUAUUGCUAAAUUAAAAUUUUAAUAUAAAUAUUACAGUUUAUUGUAGUUUAUCAUUAAAGGGGGAUGAAAUAUCAAUGACAUUAUACAAUAUGUCACACGUACGUACUGUUCUAUUUUAAUCAUAAUGGUUUGAAUUAUUUGUUUCCCAAGAUUGGUCAUGUGAAGAAGCACACACAAACAUGCGGUUGGGAAGCAAAUAGUAAAUAUAGGAUUGAUUUUUUUUUUUUUUUUAAUCAAAAGGUCAUACGAUUUAAAUCAGAGCAAGCAGUAUAAAGACGACGUACCCUUGUAGGGUCGUCAGAAAACAUCGUCUUGCAGAAUUGCAAGUCCUAUACUAGAUAAAGCAUAAGCUUUGAAAUCCUAAGUACACCCACCUUAUAGCAAUUAAGCACAAUUAUUUUACAGGUAAAACUAGGUUUCGGAGAAAACUAUCAAGACUCUUCGAAAAUCACUAGUUACCUGGACCAUAACUUAUUCUAAAUUAGGGGCCAAAGCCCAAAUUCAUCCGCCAGAGCCUAAUCAGAUGAAACCCUAGCUGAUGCAGCCCAAGGCCAAACAAGCCCAACUUCUAGAGAAGCCUUGAGAGAAACCCAAGCAACCUUCAUCUUCUCCCCGCCGUCAUCACCAUCAGAUAGUAGCGGCGCCGUUGGAACAAAAUUUAGAAUCAGAGCCAAAGCACCACCAUCCUCCCUAACAACGGAAAUAUGGUGAAUACCUGGUUCAUGCCCUCUUGCCGAGAUCUGAGACGCAAAGAUCUGAAUUGAGGGCUCCCAACUGCAGCCAAACAAGCCACCACCGAGUGCUCCAAUCCUCUUCAACGUUCCCAUUCCAUCCCAAGCCACAAGUCAAUCGGCCUGUAUUGUUUCCUCCCUUGUAUCAAACCCAAAGGCAAGAACAAAAAGAGAACAACCAAGACCUUUGUUUAGGAGAUUCUGAUGAACAAAGCCGCCAUCACCAUCACAAGUUGGACUCGACAUCCACCACCGCCCAUAUAAGGCACGAUAGAGCCAUCCAUCACUGCCUUUGAUUGGAGAAAAAGAGACUGGAGAAGAGAUCUCUUUCCUCAUCAAAAGAGAAUUAUCGUUGCCCGUCAGUUUGGGAGUUUUGUCGACCGCCGCCGCCGAGUAAAACCCUAGCAGAGCUAGGGAGAGAGACAUCUUAACCCUUGAAGAUGUUGGUUGUAAAUAUAGGUAUUGUAUUUUCGCGUAUCACUUAGAGUAACUUCAACAGAAUCUGUAUAAUAUAUGUAUUAUAUAGAGAAGCCAAAGUCAAAAUCUUGAGAAGUUUUUUGCUCCAACUUUACAGAUUUGUAUUUAUUACAAUAAUAAAAUAUUCUACGUCCCUACUACAUGUAAAGCGAAAAUAAAAGAAACGCUAUUUUUUCUUCUUAAGCUUCUGCUCGCAUUUGAUUAGCAAUGAAGCUAAUAAAACAUUUUUGAUCUAGAGGAGAAAUACUCUUGUUCUUCUCCCCCCACCUAGGAUGCUGGGAAGGGUGGCUCCUGGCCCAAUUAAAAGGGUGAGUGGGGCAGUGACUAGUCAAGAAGGGAUCGGUGCAGCGCGGUGGAUGGCGUUGGUGUGGGGCACGCGGUGGUGGAAGCUUCUAGGCUUCCCAGAUUACAGGUGGUUGUUGGCGGUCCAAAGUUUGUCUAGAUCGAAGACAGAGAGUCCGGUAUGCCUUAGGGAAGUCUGGAUAUGCACAUCGGGGUCGACGGGUUGCUGCAUAUGUUCUUCGGGUUGGACGGUGUGAGAUUGAGAUCAGUGUCUCAAUCGUUUGGUCAAGGAACGGAGCUCAGGCUUCAGAUGGGGACGACAUCGGCCGAUGUGCAACGAUGUAGACUUCGAGUUGGCAAAUGAGCCAAAUCAACCUCUAAGCAUGGGCUUAGGGUUGGUUCGACUUUUUAUUUUACCUUUAGGUCAUUUUCUUUAUCGCAUAAUAAAUUUGGGUAAUUGUACUAAACAAGGCGUCAUUCCGCAUACUCUACAAUGUAGUGUGCAUGAUGACAUUAUCAGUGAUCUGCCCUAGCUUUAAAUCAAGCCAACUUGAUGGCUCUUUAUUUAAAAUCAUUUAGGUCUUUUAAUUCUGUUAACAUUUUAUUUUAUUUAUAAUGUAACCGUCAUGUUUAUUUCGAUUUAAUAAAAGUUUUCUCUUAUACAGUUACGCUCAAGGUUCAAACAUGAUUAAAGUUUGCUCUUAUACGGUUAACUUCAAUUUUGAUGAUUAUGUAGUAACACUGUUUGAAAUUCAUAAUAUUCGAUGAAAAGAAUUCCUUUUCCUAUAAAAGAAAUCAAAUGGAUUAAUCAUGAGUCCAUGACCAUGUUGGAUUAUAUUGGAUUAAUACAAAUCUAAAAACAUGUCCAAAUGUCUAUGUUUAUAAUGUUCUUAAUUUGUAGUUUUGGCUGUCUUUUGGGUAAAGAGACACUGGAAUGUGUGCACCUGCUAGAUUGCAAGUGCCUCAAGCACCCGCCAAGUUAGGUCACCAAGGAGGCGCUAGCAAAGCUAGCACGUGUACGCGUCACACAUCGUUUAGGAAAGACAAGUUGUUGUGUUUUAUAUGCGGAGUCAGCUCAUUACAUUGAGACGCGUUUUGAGGUCAAACCUGACAUUAUGUAAUGUUUCAUCAAGUUUGCUUGAGGUGACCUACACCAAGGUAUAAUCUGGGGCAGAAUACGAAAUGAUUCUAAAACCAGUUAUUUGUAACAAAUCAUUAAUAAUGUCAUCAUGCACACUACUUUAAAGAGUAUGUGGAAUGACGCCUUGCUAUGUACGGUUACCUAAGUUUGCUCUUAUACGGUUACGCUCGAGGUUCAAAGAGCAUUAGUAUCAACAACAAAAAAGAUCAAAGAGCAAAUUGUUUUAUGUGUACAACGAAAGAGAGUCAUCAAUAUUAAUAGAAUACUAUACAAAGCACUUGAUAUUAUUCGAUCCCAAUAAUGAUGUCCCCCAUUUGGCCAAUUUGGGGCCAUAGACACCUUCCAAAGAGAAAUAACAGUAACUUAACUUGUUAGGUUUUACCUUUCACUUCUAGUCUUAAACUCCUGAUCUUAAUUACCAUGCAUGCAUGAAUUAAUAACAUUCCAAUACAUAGAUAAGAGAUCAAUCGAAACCGUUUUAUAGAAGAAAAUAAAAGUGACGAUCUAUUACUAAUUUAGGUCUUCUUUUUGCCGAAUUGAAAAAGUAUCUUCUAAUUAUUGAAAUAAAUUUAGAUUUGUUUAUUAGGAGCCUCUCUCUCUCUCUCUGCUAGGGGUGGUAGAGCGUCGCCUCUGGCCUCUCGGAAAACCUCUCCAUCUUCGAUAGAUACCUCUGCAGUGUCAUCCUAGGCAUCUCUCAUCUUUAAUAUGUGAGCUGCUUUAUCCACAAGGAAAUCAAAGGCCUAUUUUGGGCGGUUGGAGAAGCAACGGCUCGAUAACAAUAUAAGAAGUGGUGGGCAGCUUGACGGUGAUCCACCGGUCUUGGCUGGCUGUGGUUUAACUGAGAGGGACAGAGGCGGAGAGCCCCCAUUCUUGAUUUUUUUUCUUUUUUCAAGUUUGGGUGAAAUUCUAAUGAACAUACAAAACCUAAGUUGCAACAAACAAAAUUAAUAUAAUUAGAUCUGCUCUUCAUAAACAAACUUGGGAUUUGCGAUCCCAAUCCCAAGUAAGAUCGGUUCAGGAUCAUGGGAUCCUUUUUUAUCAAAUAAGGAAGGGUCGUUGCACAAAAUUUACUUCUAAGUAAUUGCUCCAUAGAUCCUAUAUCUAUCUAUAUGAUGAAGAAAUCAUGUAACGAGGGGGUUAUUAUUUGUACAAAUGGUACUUCGAACUUAGAACAAGUAUGAAGAAAUUAACGAUACUUCUUUAUCUUUUGAGUUGUUCUGCCAGAUCAGUCGCUCAAGACCUUUGGUUUCUACCCAAAAAAAACUGGAUUACUUCAUAUGGACUUGUUCAAAAAUGGUAAAACCAUUAGUGCUUUCUCUUUAUAAUUUUUUACUCUUAACAAAAAAAUGUUAGAAGUCUAAAAAUCAUAUCAAACUCAUGCAAACUAAAAACAUUAUGUAUUCAAAUCUAUCUAAAAUAUCUAACUCCCUUUCUUUUUUUUCUUUUGAGAAUGAAAGGAACUUUUAUUCAUCAAGAAAACCAAAUUACAAACUAUGGGAACUAUCAGUGGAAGACUUAGAAGUCCCACUUGUUUCCCUACUACUACAUAUAGUUACGGGUCUAUCACCAUUGAUGACAUCCAUGAGCCAAUCGGGCCCAACCCCUAACCAGAAAUGAUGCCCCUCUAACCGGGAUACUCUAGUUGCCCUAGAAUGUGCCACACAAUUCGCACCUCUUGGAACAUAACAAAUCUCCUGCAGACCAAUACUAGUUAACAAAGAUGAUUUUUUCAACCAAAUAUCUAACUCCCCUUGAUGCAAGCAUACCAACUGAAAAAUCUCUUUGUCAAAGAGGUUGAAACCGAUGACAUCACUUCCUUCUGUUCUACCUUGUCCUCCUUCUUAGGCUCAACAGGUUACACAACACCACCACCACGAUAUGCAUGUAGAGGCACCCACAGCCACCUCGCCCCCGUCAGAGAGCAUGCAUAAAUGCUGAGUCAUCCCUUCCAGGUGCAAUGAUCUCAGUGAUGUAUAUAUACUUUUUCAAAUAAGGACCUAUCUACCUUAGUUAAGGUACGGAUUUUCUUAAUUUGACCAACUUUCUGAUCAUAUUUUCUCAUCAUAGUCGUUCACUAUUUAGAUAUACAUGACUUGAUCAUUUAUAAAAAAUUUCAGCUAAUUUGGUUAUCGUUAAGGUAUCGAAAAUGUAUUAAAUCAAUGAAUGAACCGAAUCUGUUCAUCCUGAAUCAUACGUUCUAUUAGUUCUAAAUCAUAGUUUUAAAUGCCUUAAUGAUUAUCAAUUUGGCUGAAAAUUUAUUGAGAUGAUCUACUCAUAUAUACCUAAAUUUUGAACGGUUGAGAUGAGAAAAUAUGAUCGAAAAGUGGGUCAAAUAAUGAAAUCCGUACUUUAUCCAAGGUAAGGAGGUCCUUACCUGAUAAGCAUUAUAUAUAUAUAUAUAUAUAGAUAUAGAUAUUAGCAUGUCCAAAUAUCCGUAUUUAUUCAAAAGGUAUGGAUUUUCUUAAUUGACCCACUUUUAGAUCAUAUUUUCUCAUCUUAACCAUUCACAUUGUAGGUAUAUAUGAGUAGAUCAUCUCUACAAAUUUUCAGCCAAAUUGAUAAUCUUAAGGUAUUGAAACUAUAUGAUUACAAUGAACAAACCAAAUCUGUUCAACAUGAACCGUUCGUGUAAUUCACAAUUUUGAAUACCUUAAUGAUUAUCAAUUUGGCUAAAAUUUUGUAGAGAUGAUCUACUCAUAUAUACCUAAAAGAUGAAUGAUUGAGAUGAGAAAAUAUGAUCGAAAAGUAUGUCAAUUAAGAAAAUCCGUACCUUUUGAAUAAAUACGGAGGUCCGUAUCUGAAAAGACUUAUACACACACACAAUUAUUAUCAUGUCCAAAUAUUCUUAUUUAUUCAAAAGCUACGGAUUUUCUUAAUUGACUCAUUUGUAGAUCAUAUUUUCUCAUCUUAACCGUUUACAUUGUAGGUAUAUGUGAGUAGAUCAUCUCUACAAAUUUUCAACCAAAUUGAUAAUCGUUAAGGCAUUCAAAGAUGUGAUUUGGAACUAAAAAUAUGAACGGUUCAGGUUGAACAGUUUGAUUUAAUUCAUUACCGAUACCUUAACGAUCUCUAAAUUGACUGAAAAUUUGUAGAGAUGAUCUACUCAUAUAUACCUAUAAUGUAAACGGUUAAGAUGAGAAAAUAUUAUUGAAAAGUGGGUAAAAUUAAGAAAAUCCGUACCUUUUGAAUAAAUAAGGAUGUUUGAAUCUUAAAAGGCUUGUGUGUGUGUGUGUCCAUUCCCUUGAGUUUCGACAACCAAAACUAAAUCUUAUUGCUCUUGGCCUCAGCUCCAAUGGAGGCAAGAAUGGUCUUCAAGUUCUUGGCAAGGGACAAAGUUGCCGCCCAAAACAACGAGCCUAUACACGACAACCGAAAAUUCUUCUAUGCACCAAGGUGCAAGUGAACCUAGUAACUAAUAUGCAGUAUUUUGAUCCGGUUAUCUACGUCGCACUACAUGCAUAUAUACUAAUAUCGUUAACAUAAUUGAAACCCAAAAAAAUAGUCUCAAGUGUUUCCAACUAAGAAGAUGAGAACACAAGGUCGAAGAAGAUAUACUAUUAUUAUGGGCGUUGAAUUUGAUCGAAUCAAAAUUGAAAUUGAAAGAAAGGAACUUAGGGUCUCUAGUAUUCAUUCAAUCUUCUCAUACGGCGAUUUGAGCACUUAAACAUUAAUGGUGUAAAUGUAUCUUAGUGCGUAGAAUCUGCUUCCCACGACAACAACCUUCAUCGUUACUCUCUAAAGCUAGGGAUCAUACACGUGCGGUGGUAGAUGGAGGCUCGAUAAAGGAUUUUUAUUGUCCAUACAAAAAUGGAGAGCUUGACAAAGCUUUUUAUUGUCCCUAACAAAACGAAAAUUGUAAAUAAUUUUGCUUUAUGUGAUUUUUUUUAUCGAAUAAUAAUAUUCCUUUUCAAAAGAUAUACACAUGUCUAAAUGGAGAAAUUCUUCCAUACAACAUCCUUACCAUGUGGCUUGUGUGACCACCAAAUCGCAGAGUGACACGUGGCACUUUUUUGUCUACUUCAGCAAUGGUUUUUCUUCUUGGGAAAAUGCCCAUUUAGUCAAAAACAAUAAACACAAACCCCAUUCCAAUGAAAAUCUUUUGUCAUUUAGUCAAAAAGAAUAAACACAAACCCCAUUCCAAUGAAAAUCUUUUGUCCAAGCCCAUUCUAAUGAAUUUAAAAAAUAAGACGUUUAUAUCCUUAGUAAUCAAAUACACCAUAUCUCUCUCCCUCUCUCUUUUCCCGUCCCUCACUCUUCUCCAGAUCUAAAACUCUCUCUCUCAUCCCUCAGAUCAAGAAGCCUCUUGCUGGUCUCGUCGCUGGCAGCGUUGGCACAGCGGUAGGAAACCCGGCCGAUGCGGCUCUGUUCCCCUAGGUAUUGUCCUCCUCCUCAAUCCUUCGCCGACAGCGUCUGACGGAACUCUUCGAUUUGGGAUCGAUCUGUUGAUAGCGUUUCCGUUUAGAGUGACAACCUCACUCUCCGCCUAGUCCGCCACCAUCGUCAAGUCUCCCACCGGACAUCCCUCCUCUUUUGGCUACGACAUCGUCUGUGUCUUUUUUCUUUUCUUUUUUGGUUGCGUCCUUCUUUUUUUUUGUUGCGUUUUGGUAUGAAUUGUUGAGUUUUGGUAUGAAUUGUUGAGCCUGAAGUUUUGCAUUUGACUAUUACAUUGCGUUUAGUUCAUCACAUAUGCAAAUAGUUAGCAUGAACGGCAAAUAGUUAAACUUCUUUUUUCAUUUUUUUUCUUUCAUUGCAUUUUGAUUAGUUUCUCUAUUAAUAAGCUUUGUUUGGGGUCAGCAACUCAGGCCAAUCUUGAUUAUUGGGGGUUAUUGUAGAUUAUUGGGGUCAGUAACCUUUUUAAGGAAUCUAUAACUCGGUUAUUAGGGGUCGGUACCUCAGUUAUUGGGGGUCAGUAACUGAUUAUUGGAGGUCAGUAACCAAUUUAUUAGGGGUCAGUAACUGAUUAUUGAGGUUCAGUAACUAAUUUAUUGGGGGUCAAUACUGAUUAUUAAGGGUCAGUAACCAAGUUAUUGGGGGUCAGUAACCGAGUUACCGGUGACCGAAAUCCGACGACCAGAGAAAAUCUGAGUUACUAGGGGUCAAUAACUGGUGACCGAAGAAAUUCGGGCGAUCGGUGACCGGAGUCCGGCGACUAGUGACUGGAGUCCGGUGAGGUUCCCGGCAGAGUCUUCUCACUUUUUCACUUUCUCUCUCCUUAUAUAUGUUGAAGUGGUGAGGGUAAAAUUGUCUUAAAAAUAUACAAAAAUUAUUAUUUUAUUAUGUCUUUAAUAUAGAUUUGUAUAUUUAGGCAUAAAUAAGAACACCUUAUAUUGGAAUGGGCUCAUGUCUAUUAAAUUCAUUGGAAUGAGCAAUAAAAGGUUUAAAUUAGUACUAAAUUGACAUUUUCCAUUUUUUCUUUCUUUUUUCUUCUCUUGCGAAAUACUUCACUGUGUUUCUUUUCAUCUCUCUUCCUCUUCGUUUCCACUUUUCAAACUAUCUCUCCUCUCUAAUAAUCGAUCUGCAACACAACAAAUCAAGAAGUUGAAUAUCACCCUUAUCACGUCAUAAGCCAGAACAGACAGACCGCACACACUACCAGGACAAGCAUUUUAGCCGACGAAAAAUUUUCGUCGGCCUGUCAGCUUAAUUCGUCGGCUAAGAUCUUAGCCGACGACCUUUCGUCGGCUAAGAUUUCUUCGGGAAAAGGUCGUCUAUGGUGACUUUAGCCGACGACACAUGUAGAAGUCGUCGGCUAUAGUCCAGAGUUUAGCCGACGAAAAAAAUGUCGUCGGCUAUAGUCCAAACUUUAGCCGACGAAAC
RNAcentral lists this long non-coding RNA (77785 nucleotides) under Fragaria vesca (wild strawberry). RNAcentral describes it as "long non-coding RNA (FVES_LNC002317)". Lineage: Eukaryota; Viridiplantae; Streptophyta; Magnoliopsida; Rosales; Rosaceae. The record is from RNAcentral.